GGGUUUAAUGCUCUCAUGAUUCCUUUUUUUUGUUUUAUUUAGAAAUUACAUAAAUUUCAUUUGCCUUAAAACAGCAAUUAUAUCUAAUUUAAUACAAUCCAAAGGGCAAUGAAAAAGUACUGCAAAAUAUAAAAAAUCACAAUACAUCCAAUUAACUGAAACAAAGCAUAGAAAAUUUUAAAAAAAUAUCCAAUAAUGAACAAAAAAAAAUUCUUAAACAUCUAACUUAAUCAGACAGGGAAAGUAUUUAACAAGGAUUUUUUUUAACUUAGGAAAAAAAAAAAAAUUGUAGUCUAAUAAUUUUCAUUAAUGAGGAAUAAUAAAAUAGUGAUAAUGGAAACGCAAGCAAGAACAUGAUAAGUUACAAUUUCACCCUUGGACCGUUUCAUUAACGCAGGCAAAAUCCAGCGAUCCUGGCUGCAAGUCACUGACACAGAUACACCAAAGUACGAAACGGUCGUGGAUCUUAAUAAACGCAGGAUUCUACACGUGGCGACAUCUUGACCGUCCAUUAAAACAAACAAUCAAACCUUCCGAUCUGAUAUUAAAGAUCUCUUCUUCAAUCAUCGAAGACCCCACUAGUCUCACCCCUCUGAUCCUUCCUCGAUCCUUCUUCUCAAAAGGGGAUUUGAGAUUUUUAUCUCUUUGUCUCUCAAUCUUCUAAGAAGAAGCUCCAUGACAAGCUCCAGUGCUCCUUCUCGCAAGGUUCUCUCUCACUUGCUCUGUUUAUUUGACUUUGGUUUUGGAAUUAGGGUUAUUGACUUUGGGAAAAUUGUGUGGUGUGUAGGCUCUGAGCAAGAUCGCGACUAACAGGCUUCAGAAAGAGCUUGUUGAAUGGCAGAUGAAUCCACCCACUGGCUUCAAACAUAAGGUCACUGAUAAUCUCCAGAGGUAAAAACAAUUGUGUUUACUUUUUUGAGAAUCAUGAAAUCUCCUGAGGACUUCGUUGAUGUGAAAAUUUCAUGGGUUUGUUGUUUGCAGAUGGGUAAUUGAAGUUAUUGGAGCUCCAGGAACUCUCUACGCCAACGAUACCUACCAGCUUCAAGUUGAUUUUCCUGAGCAUUAUCCUAUGGAAUCACCACAAGUGAGAGUUUUUUUAAAAAAGUUUUAUAUAUAUUGAGAGGCCUCUGUUCAAUGGUAGUUUAGUCAGUGUUAUGAAGAUCUCUUAACUAAUGUAUAUAUUGUGAGUUUUGAAUUUGUAAGCUGAUAUAUUUAGUUUAGUGUUUAGACCCUAAACUGCAUUUGCUUUUAAAUUAGUGCUUGAUGAUCAAUCUUGGAAUCUCUGAUAUUUCUCAAGUUUGGUCUCUGCUUUAUUGUGAUAUUAUCUUUGAUCUCUCUCUCGAGUUGACUUGAGUAUCCUUUUGUUUGCUUCAAUUUUGUACAGGUGAUUUUUCUUCAUCCAGCUCCUCUUCACCCUCACAUUUACAGCAACGGGCAUAUUUGUUUAGGUAUGUCAGUAUCCUCUGUUUUUAUGAUACUCUCUUGCCUCUUUUGGUUAUUUAUCUAUUACUUUUUGUUUCAUAAUAUGAUUUCUAAUGGUUCUACUUGCCUUCAUCUGAAGCUUGAUGGUAGAUGUCUUUGAUUAUUCGUGUUUAUUCUCCAUAGAUUUGGUUUUUGUCAUGGAAUAAGGCAUCUCAUCUCUCGCUUGUGUUUGGUAGGAACAAGAUAUAUUAAGAUAUUUGGCAAUAGUCCUAGUCAUAAACUCAACGGCCAUUUAUGAAUUAUGAUCCUCUGUGAACUAAUUUGGAGUCUUACUGAUAAUAGAUAUUUGAUUUAGAUCCAAAGGUAUUCCCAUAUCCAUAAGAUCAGUGUUGAGAAAAAUCUACAUCAUGGCUGAAAACAUUUUGAGCAUUUCUUGCAUUUUAUUAUUCGAAUUGUAAUGUACAUUUUAAACAUAGGCCAUCCCAAAGAAGAAGCUGAUGUUUGUGCAUCGAUUUGCAGAUAUUUUGUAUGAUUCGUGGUCUCCAGCCAUGACGGUGAGUUCGAUAUGCAUCAGUAUCCUCUCCAUGCUUUCAAGUUCAACUGAAAAGGUACAUACAACGCUUAGUCUUACCAUUGUGCAAGCCAUAUUCUGUCUUUCACAAAGCUGAACCUUCCUCUGGCUUGGUUGUUUUUUUUUUGUUGCAGCAACGACCACCCGACAAUGACCGCUAUGUCAAGAACUGUAAGAACGGGAGAUCUCCAAAGGAGACCCGAUGGUGGUUCCACGACGACAAAGUAUAAACAGGCUCGGUCGACCAUAAAAAUGUAAAAUAAUCCGAAACAGUGUCGAGGUUUGUUGACUAUUUUUUUUAAUUUAACCGGGUUUAAGCUGGCUGUCCCAAACCCAUUCUCCAAAAUCCGUGAUGUAGAAAAACAACACAAGAAAAGAAUUAAAAAAAAAUUGGCUAAUUUGAAUUUUCUACUCUAAUUUUUAAAGCCCUAAUAACAAAAUACCCAAACCUAAUCUCUCUGAUGCUUCUCUACUAGGUCAUAUAUAUACAUCAGGAAGAAUAUUUCUCAACUACUACUUUCCUCUGGUUUUGUUCUGUCACCAUGAAGCAGCUGACGAGGAAGAGGACGAUGGAGGAAACAAAGACAAAGAUGGGUUUUGAAAGAUUCUUUGGCCAGUAGCAAGUAUAUGUCGCGGAUCGAACUCAGCCUUGAGGCUUCUGAACCGAUCCCACUUGUCCCCAAAAUGAGCCACCCACUCUUCCUGUGUUGCGUGGUGGGGAAGGUACUGCUUCACGUUGAUCUUGGCUUGUUCGCAGAACUCCAAGAUCCGCCGGUUCUGAUCUUUCAGAUACUCUAGCUUCUGUGUCUCCUCACCGUCCUUUAAAGCUGAUCUCAACAGAGCCACCAGAUAGAAAACUUCCUCAUCGGGCGUCACGGCUGAGCUCCUCUCGUCCCAUCUGGCAAAUAACAAUCAAAUUACGACACGUCAGCAACGACAAUAUUUAUACACAAUUAAUAAAAUGAUGCGUUGGAGGGUUCGUUGAGAUCGGUUUGGUUUAGGAGAAUCCGAUCGGGACCCAUACACACCAUAAGUUCUAGGAACUUAAAGAAAAAACAAAACAAAACCCAAUCUGGACCGUCGGAUUUGGUCGCAAAACAAAACGAACAAAAGAGAAAAAGACGAGCCGAUGAGGCGUUAUUGUCAAUCUUAGCUGGUUCGAUGCACAUGUGGACAACGUUUUUCGGACAAUCCCAUGUACCACGUGUCGAGUUUUUUUUACGAUUUUGACAAACUGUUUUAUUCUUGGACCACUAAUUUAAUCCCCACACAAGUGUAAUUUUGCAUGCAUGCAAAACUCGUUCUGUUCUUUUAUUUCUAUCGAUGCAGAAAUAGUAGUAAUCAACGGUUAUGUUAAGACUUACUUGUCUUUGUUCAUUGGGUAGAUAAGGAUAGGGCCACUAGUUUUAUUUCCCAAAAUGCCCUUGAAAACGCCUUUGUCGAAGUCAGAGAUUCUUGAUUUCGGUACGAAGAGGUUGAGCCAUGGGUGUGGAACCUCCCAUAAGUUCUUGGACCGGAGCUUCAACUCGGCCUUGUGUACCCGGUCGAGAAAGUCCACAUACUGUAAAUCCGUUGUAAAUACCGAUGUCGGUAUGAAAUUCAAUUUUUUCAUCAAAAUUUCCACUUCCUGUAAGAAAUAAUUUAAAAAAAAAAAUCCACAUUUAAUAUUCUAAAUCCGGAAUAGGAAACGAAAGUUUACGUGGAAAACUAAAAAAAGAAAAGCUGUUUUGCUACUAAAGCCUACCAAAAACAAAGGAUAAGUUAAGAUUCCAGUAGAGUUGGUUUUAUUAAAGUUUAACUUAAGAGAAAAGAGGAAUCAUUAUUUGGUGAGUGGUCCAUGACCCCCAUCCACUACUUAAUUAGUAACCAUGAUUAAUUCGCUAGUGAUAAACUAAACAUCAGAAGAAGAAGAAGAAGAAAGAACAAAUAUAUAUUUUAAUGUGUGUAUUAUUAAGUUCAGGUGGAAAAGCUAGAUCUCUGUAGAUCCUCUCUGGCUUCUUCUUCAUGUCCUCUUCCAAAGUUAAAUUAUAAUAAAGUGUAUAACACAACAAAAAUACUAUGGAGACCACUUUUUAGAUCAUAUAAACUAAAUAAAUAUUCAUAAUGAUUUCCCCAAUAAUCGCAUAGCGUUAAAUCGUUCCAGAUACUCAUCAAAUAUAAAAAAGAAAAAUAUCUCUUUUGUUUUUCUAAAGUGAAUAAUGAAAGUGACCUGAUUGACGGUUUCGGAGUCGGAGUCGUGGUAGUUCUUGGUGAUCUCUAGGCAAUACAAAACGGACCCGUUUGAGCUAACGGACGAGAUCUUGACGGGGUUACGUGGAGAGAAGAAAGAGGAUCUCCAAUUGUUCACGAGACCUUCGUCCACUAUCACAAAACCUUCCACGUAAUCGAACUUUAGUUCACCAUGCAUCGAUAUUAAGUACUCUUGGUCCUCUGUAAACACCUCGAAGCUCGAAUACAAUACCCUUAUCCAUCUUACCUGUCAUCAUAAUAAAAUCAUUUUAGGGUUUUUAUUACCUUAAAGAUUAAAUAAACAUACUGGAAUCAACGGUAAAAAGGUUAAUAUACAUAUGGACCCGCCCGGGAUUUUAAAUUUCUAUUAUAUUAUAUAAGAAAAAAUUACCCUUUGGGGAGCAGGUUCGAGAGCGAUUCGUGCUCGUGUAAUAAUCCCAAGUUGACCUAACCCACCAAGAACUCCAUGGAAUAGCCUUGUGUUCUCGUCUUCUGAGCAUCUCAUCACCUCUCCUUUCCCUGUUUUUUUUCAUUACAACUUUUUGUUAUUAAAACUUCAAUCAAAACCAUUAUAUGAAAGAAGUUAAAUGUUUCUAAUACUAACCAGUUACAACGUCCAGCUCAAGGACGUUACUAAUCUGUGGACCAUGGUGAAAAGCUUGACCACUGAUUCCUGCAUUGGAUAGUGUACCUCCUACCGUAAGGUACAAGUAAUCAGUCCAGGAUUUUGGUGCUAACCCAUGCUCCAACGUUUUCAUCAACACAUCAACCCACAACUCUCCACCCCAAACGUCCACAUACAUUUCAUCCGGUCGGAUGAGUGGCUCCGGAGUCCCGAUUACGCCGUGGUUCAUCUCAACCACCACUCCGUUCCUCCCCACUGCGGCUUGUCCGUUUAUGGAAUGGCCGUGGCCUCGGGCUGAGACCGGAAACGCGGUGGCUGAACCAUAAGCUGUUCUGACGAGCCGUGCCACGUCUUCGGCCGAGGAUGGGUGAAGCACGGCUAAUGGCUCUUCCGGUGACUUCAACAUACCAAAGUCCGAAGAAACAGAGGCUAAGUCGGAAGGGUGGACGCUGAAAUAGCCGUCGACAACGAUGGCCCCGAUACGGAAGAGCUCACUCGGACCAACGGAUAUAAUCAGUUGACAUAUAGCGAACGACACAAGGAGAAAGCUUGACGUCAUUUCACGACUCAUCAUAGUAUAGUAGAGAAACAAGAAUCAAGAUCGAGGGAGGAAGAGAAUAUAUAGAAGAAAAGAAAAUAAUGUUUUUUUCAAGAUAAUGAAAGAUUUUAUAGGGAAGUGAGAAAACAUAUAUAUGGGGAGAUCCUUGGGGGUUCGUGAGAGCUAACGUAAGCCCAGAUUACGCUUUGAAGAUUUUCUGAGCAACAUGCACAGAUUCUCUCUCUCUUUUUUUCGGUUUGGGUGAAAACUUUAAUAUUCCCCUAUUAUAUAUAUAAAUAUAUAACUACGAUUGUUUAUAAUAUAUAUUAUUUUCGUACAAAAAAGAAAAAUUAACGAGUUUAUGCGGUUUAUAUGUGUGUGUCGAGAAUAUGAAGACAAGAGUUCUCUAUUUAUAGGACAAAGAGGUGUACCGGAGAAGAUCACGUCAUAUUCUUUAUUAACAAGUUCAUCUUUUAAACCAAAAAUCAAAAGAACCGUGUGAUAUCUACGUGUCACUGUUUAUAUUAUUAACUUUUUCGUUUCCUUUUUUGUUGUCACUGUUGGAAUCUCUAAACCAAAUCAACUUUUCAUUAGUAUGAUAUUGUCCGCUUUGGGCCCAUAAUUCAAGCUCUCACGCAUUUAUUGGGCUCCUUCCUAAAAGGCCUCAUACUAAUUGGAGUUGAAUUUAACUUAUAUAUUAGAAACUUCUCUUUCUAAUCUUUCGAUGUGGGAUAUUGGUUUGUAUUCCAAUAGUUACAAAAACAUUUUCAAGUUAAUUAACUAUAAUACUGUAUAAUAUGCUCACGUAAGUAUUUAAUUGUUUGAGAAAGACAUCGUAGACCGAAGACGUACGUAAACCAUUUGACUAAUUCAAAACUGGCAUAUAUGAGCUAGUGUCAAAAUGAGUUUUGGUCAUUUACCAAUUUGAUAUGGUUAUUAAAAAAUAAAACGUGUUGUAUGAGUUUUGAAACUCUAUAAUGAUUUGACUAUUGACUUAAAAGGAUUGUCUGAGAAAUGAAGAACAAAGCACUAGAGCAAAUCAAUCAGAUUGGUCUCCAGAAAACGUUUUACACGACAAGUUUCAUUUAAAUCUUGCGACGAUCAUUAACAAACAAAAAUGAAGGAGGAUGGGGGGGGAGGGAUAUGGUGGGAGAGGGCAUGGGAGGAGAUGGGAGAGACGGAACAGAAGAACGCCACGUGGGAUCAUUCACGUGGGAGAGGAUGAGGUCACACGUGUGUAGUUGAAAGGAGUAGGUUCCACAUUUUGGAUACGGUGAAUCGUAGUGGGGACCUGACCUCUCUCCUCUCCUGAGAGAUGAACUUAUUAGUUGUUCUCUCAUUCACGUGUUGGACUUUGCACUUCUUCGGUAAUGAAAUUAAUAAUUAUUACCCAAAUCUUUAUAAUUUGGAUUAUUUUUUAGGUUAUUAAAAUUAAAUAUUUAAACGAGAAGAUGAAAAAAAAAAAACAGUACUAUUUAGAAAGGGAAGAUAGAUAGAUUCUUCUUCUGCAGUACUUUGCAGUCGGUAGAUCCUCUCUUUGGCUUCCAUCGAUAAAUUUCUUUUUUUACAUUUUUUUUUGUUUUUGCAGUCUAGAAUCAGAAAUAUAUUGUUUAGUAGUACUUAUAAAAGAUAUGAUUCUGCGGAUGAUGAUUUAGUUGGUGAAGGUCAAAAAUGGUUUAACUAGACCUUGACUCCGUACGUUGUUUAUUUCUUACUUACUUAUAUAAAAAUUCGACUUCUUGAGCUUCUCUUCCUCGAGUUUUGUAGUAUAUUAUUAUUGUUUAUCAAGAGUUUGGACGUGAACUCGUGAAGUCAGUAUUAUACUUAUACGUCUUUGGAAGACUGAUAUUAGGAAUAGUUUAUAUAAUUAUAUGUUUUAUUUUGUGUUGUGAAUAGUGUGGGGGAAUCUAACGUCUAGCUAGAUUUGAUGAUAAUUUAGUUUGGUGGGUUGAUUUGGUACUAUAUAUAUAUAUAUCUUUUUUUUUUCUAUAAAAACAUAUGAACAGCUGCAAGUUGAGAUCUAUUUGAUGCCAAUCCAAACAUUAAUACCUUUGCACGAUAAUAGAGAUUGGUACAUUUUACCAAAUUUUCUCAUACUAUCUCAUUAUUGUCAACUUGCUCUCAUGUUUUCAUUUUUUUCUUUUGUUUCCUUCAGAUCGGAUUUGUGUCUUUAUUACCAGAUAUUAUAAUUGUCAAAAUCAGUUUCUUACUUCUAUAGUAGUUAUAUUGGCGUGGUUGCAUGGGUCGUAUAAAUGUGCUUAGUACAAAAAUAAAAUAUGUCCUACAACCCUAACCAAUUGGACCUAAAAAUAAUGCUUCUUAUAAACAAUGAUCGAAAUACUUGGAUAAAUCUGAUCAAUUAUUAGAAAACGAUAGUACUUAAAUAUUAGAUAUUGCCACUUGAAUAUGGAACCUACGUACAUUUUGCUGUUCUUUAAAUAUGUUUCAUAAACAAGUUUAUAUUGGCCACAUCAUAUAUAUAGUGACGAAAGAUUCACACUUGGACACUGAUGAUGAAAUUAAUUAUAUGCUUUCUUCAUAAUAUACAUAUAGUAUAUAAAUACAUACAUAUGAAACACUGAUAAGUAUACAGCAUAUUUUUUUUUUUUUUUUUGUGAAACAGAUGGUACUAUUUUCUAAUCAAGAGUCAAUUCCAGUUGUGUUUGUGAGCAAUAUCAGUAUUGAAAUUUGUGAAAAUGUAAUGAUAACGAUAUUACCAGAAGAGGACGCGUGUGGGGGCCAACAUGUUUCAAAAUGUAUGUUUUGUUUGUAAAUUAGUGAGUCGAUGAAAUAAAACAAGAGAGCUCAGCCAAUCUUUUUUUUUUUUUGUGUUUUAAAGCGCAUGAAUUGAGUUGCAACUUGUAAUUUAUGUCAAUCAGAUCAAAUUUUGUAGUUUUCAUAUAAAAGAAGACAAAGAGAUAUUUUAACUAAUAUGAUAUGGCGGACGUAAAAUAAAACGGAAGACAAAACAUAUUGGAAAUCAUUGGUAAUUUCAUGGAAAUCUUCUUUGACAUCACAUGUACGUAAUUUUAAAAAGAUUUGAGCUAAAUAUUAUAUCAUGCAUUGCAUUGUCAUUUUAAUAUUUUAAGGUAUAAAAUAUAAUAAACAACUAAAUAUUAUUUUAAAUAAUGCUAACAUAUUUCAUAUUUAGAGCCUAUCAAAAGUCUAUGAUGGUUUUGAUUAAAUGACUCGGCAUCGUUAUAGUAUUAGGACAUACCGCUUUCAUAAUAACUAAUCACAAAAAUUAUAUUAACAAUAUAUAAAAUUAUAGUAUUGCUUUUAAUUUUAUAUAUAAAUAACUUCUCAUUUUGUUAGUUUUUUUGUUAUUAAUCUUAAUAUUUUUUUAUGUUUAGAGACAUAUAUGUACUAUGUGGAACAAUAAAUAACUAUAUACUGUAUGACUUGGAAUUAUUUAUGAAUCCGUUGAUUCGAAUGGCCGUGGAUUUUACUUCACAACAAACAAUCGGUCCAAUUAUAUUUUUACUUAUUAAUAAUAUUAUCAUUAGAAAAAGUCCAAAAUAUAACACAAUAGUCAAGUUUGAUAUGACUCUGAAAUCUGAAUGUAAGUUCUUCCAAAAUGAAAAAAAAAAAGAAAAAAAAAAUAUGAAGUGACAACGGUACAGUGUGUAUGUCUGUGUGAAGGAGAACAAAAACCCCAUUCUAGAAUUUAUAAUGUUUUUAAAACAGGGUCCAUAGUUUCAUAAUAUAUUGUAUUUAUUAUUUACGAUACUUACCUUUUAGUUUUAAUCUUUAAAGUGUGGCAUACAGACAAAUUAAAGAGGACAUAUUUUUUGUUUUUUGUUUUUACUUUUGUUUUGGUUUUGUUCUCUACCCUAGCUUGUAUAACAGAGUUAUCAUGUACUAUACAGAUCCUGGUUCAUGAAUGUCACAUCUAUGUUUACAUACAGAUCGUGGUUCAUGAAUGUACUAUUCUAACGUUUUUUCACGAUCCUAUAUCAACGUUUAAAUGCAAAUUUUAUCUAAACAGUGCAUAUAUUUGCUUAGAAUAUAUAUAUGUAAUGUACUACAGCGAUAGUGGUUGUUUCGUGUAAUGGAGAAUAAAAGAGUUGAAGAACAAUUUUGAAUUCCUUACCUCAAAAGAGGAGACCGCCACAUAUUUACGUAUUUCCAUGAUAAAAUUAUAUUGAUCUUUCAUCGAUUAUGUAUGUAUAAACUAGUCUUCGAAUCGGACCAAAUCCAACACUCUUUUGUAACACAAUAUUCUCUCUUUACGCUCAAUGUCUAUUUAAAUAUUACCACUUGACCUUUUUUUUUUUUGGGUUAAAAAAACACUACAGCCUUUCGUAAUUUUUAUAUAUCUUGUUUCUUCUAUCAAAGAUAAUCUUAGUGUGUAUUUUAAUCAAAUAUGAUUUGGAAAUCACUAAACUUUUUUUUUUUUUGUCGGCGGAAAUCACUAAACUUAAAACAUGUAUUUGGUUUUAUGUUUUGCGUUUACAGUUAAUACUUAUGUUACAUAACAUUUUAAGAAGCCCAUAAAAGAACGUAUAUACAAGCUAAAAACACAUGCAUUCUUACGGUUCACAUAAAUAAUAUAUACAAAGGCAUGCAUACAUAUUGUUUUAAUGAAUUGGAGUAGAGUUGGAUGAUAAUUGAAAAAGAUGAGAGAGCGCUUGAUAAAAGAGAAAUUAAUAAAGGAGCAAUAGAAGUCGUAUUCAAGCAAGAAAAAAAUGAGUAAGGAAGGAACGGGUGGAGAUAACCUAACAAAGAGACGAUCAUGCGUUAAAACAGUGGACAUCGACCUAACAUAACACUCUUCUCUCUUUCACAUCCCUAUCCUUAUUACUUCCUAUUUAUUCUUCUUCGUCCAUUUCGUUUUUUCUUUUUUUUAAAGAAAUAAUGUAGUUCUUGGAAGUACAAAUAUAUAAUAUUCUUGCUAAUCUCUUUUUAACUAAAGACUUCGAUUAUUGGCCUUAUGAUCUUUUCCACGUCUCUUUUUUUCUUUGUGGUCUUUUUUCUUAUACCCGUCUCAUUAUUCGUUUUAAUCAUCAUUCAUCAACAGAAGAAGGCUUCAACAUUUCCGAUAGUAUCCACUUGAGUGAUGUUUAGUCACAAUCUAAUAUUCAACCCACACUUUCUCUAAUAUAAUUAAAGUUUCCUUUUACCUAAAAAUUCAUAAAAGUAUUUUUUCGUGUUCUUGUAAAUUUAAUUUUUAUACGUACUUUAAAAACCUCAUAAAAUUUCAUUCUAUAAAUUUCUAAGCAAAUAUACGGUGAUGAUGAUAAGAAACUUGUUCUCAACUCUUACGUGUUAGAUUAAAAGGAACUAUUAUAUAUUAAAAAAUGUUUUUAAAAAAAACUAUUAUAAAAAAAAAAUCAUUUUCUGAAAUGAACAAUAAGAACACUAUUAAUUACUUUAAACACUUUUGCUUUAAAGUCUAAAGACUGAUCUGCUUCGUCAAUCUUUUAUGCAACUUAUUUAAUUAUUCCUUUGGUUAAAAAUGAGAGUAUGCGUAACUUUAUCGUGGCAUUAUCGUGGGUUCCUUUUGGAGUUCGGAACCACCUUUUUCGAAUCACUCUCUCAGCCAUAUAAGUGGUUAGGAAAAUUUUGUGCAUAUAUAUUUAUUAAAUUCGUUAUAAUAUUGAAUGGACAGUAUGUUGUAAUGUCGAGUUUAAAUUGAUUAGUGGACCUUACACACAACUGUCACUUACGAGUUCUUUUGGUCAUAAACCAAACAUAUCCACCUUUCUCCAUGCAAAAAGUGUCCCAUACAUGAUUUAGUUUUAAUUACUUAAUAUAUCUGAUCAUUUUAGUCAAGAUAUUAAUCGCCAUCAGUGAAUAUAUUUUUUUCUUAGAUUACAUAGUCAAGUUAGGUUUCCUAUAAAGUAAAUGGCUUAUAAGUGUCUUAAGAGAAAAAUGGGGUCAAUUAUAUGACUCUUUCUUUUAUCUACGUGAUCGCUCUACAAUCCAUAGUAUUGUGACUAUUGUCUUGGCCUAAUAUACAAUGACAUCUUUUUAUUCAUUUCAUCACCGUGUCAAUGAAGCCAGUAUCAUAAGAUCAUCCUUCGGAUUUGAUGAAUAAAGCAUAAUUACGCCAAAUAACUGAUUACUAAACUGACCAUUGAGUAUUAACUUAUCCUGACAAAUAAUUGAAUACUAGAGUUUUUUUGUUCAAUGGUUUGUCCAAUAAACAAAAAAAAUACAGUGGAAGAAAAAUGUCCCACUAAGCCGUAUUUCAUUGAAGGUCAAAUUUUAGUGCAUUGGAAAUAUAUAAUUUAAAUUUCUUAUUUCACGACGCAAUGUACAGAUUCUGCAUAACACACGUAUAUAAAUAUCAUAUUACACUCAUAUAUAGACGAAGACAUCAAAAGAUACGUAUACAUAAGAGAUACGCAGAUAUAUAUAUAAGAUUUAAUAAGGUAUUUAAUUAUGAAAGUAAUAUAUGGGUGGAUAAUUAGUGUCACGUGAAAGAGAGAAGUGGAGAUGUUUGAGAAGUAAAAGAGAUUCGCUAAAAGACUUUUUAAAAAGUGAGAGCGACAGAGCAACUUAGUGAGAUGAGUUCCCAACACUUUUGUUUUCUCCUUUAUUUCAUGUUCAUUUUACAGCUCAACUUAUAUUUUGUCAUUGUUCUUUAUAUUUCAAAAAGACAUUUUAAUGUAAUUAAUUAGAUUCUGUAUCAUAUAUAUCUACUCUAUAUAGUCUAUAGCAUAUGCCGGAUCUACGAUGCUUUGAUUUGAUGAUUAGUGAAAUGCAGACGUUUAGGACUCGGUUACCACAGUUUAAAUUUCGGAUUCAUGCCACGUUUAUGUGUAUGUUUAUUGUACGCCUCAAGUUUGAUCCAAAUUAAACACGAGUAUACCAGUUUUUUUGGUUAUAAAACUUUUGAUCAUCACAAAACAUCAUCGCUUGGUUCUUUAAGACAUGCCCAUACCGAAUGAACCAAAUUAGGGACUUCUCAAAAUAUCACAUUUUUGCUGACUAAAAUGGGAUGGUUUCUUAAACUAGUUGUAUGAAAAUGAAUUCUUCGUAGCUAAAAAGUUUAGAACUGCUCCUAAUUCCUAAACACAAAUUCUGCUAUUUGACGAUGACUUUUAGUCCACUUGCAUCUCCAAGUUGUUAACUAAUGAAACAUUUUUAUUGUGCUCGUUUCAUCAUUUGUAAAAAAAUUUAAUUAAUAUUUGCAUAAUACAUGUUCUAGUUUUUUUUUUUUAAUAAUAAAAUAAGAAAAAAGUUUUUAAAAAUAUUAUAUUUUCGUUUGGAAACAAAGCAUUUUAGAUACUUAAUAUUUCGUUUCGAUUAUUAAAAAUACUAUAACAUAUUUAACCGUCGACACAUACUAACGCAAACAUGAACAUUUUUCCAAUUCGAUGUCGGCAUUAUAAGUUCAGAUUACCUAUUUUUCAACAUUUGAAGAUUAAGUAUAAGUUAUUUACGUUCUUUCGUACGUUAAACAUUACCUGUACGUAACUUAUAGCUCCUAAUUAUAAUACUAUUGAGUAUUGACUAUAUGGUAGACGUGAAAUGAUAAAUUUUAAAAGGGAAAGAUGGAAAAUGUAAAAUUUGAUUGGGACAUUGAAGAUACGGAGCCAAAGGGAUUUGAUUCGAGAUCUUCACUAUGUCUGCCUAAAAAUGGUUACCGUGUGCAGCCACAAGUUUCACGAUACUAUCCACAAAUAUGGCAAAAUAUAUUUUUGACCCUUUGAAGUAAUUGAAGAGACGAGACGUACCAUUUACAUCUAGUCUCAUGAUGGCUUUGAAUGGAGGUAGAAUUUUUUACAUUUUUCUAGAUUAAUUUCGUAGCGAAUAGUUGGACUAAACGAAAUGUGUAAAUAUUGGUUUACUGACAUUUCUUUGUCUCUAUCUCUUAAGAAGACUUAAUAAGUUACUCAAGUUAUAAACAAAACGAGUUAUUUUUGCAAAAAAGUCUUCUCAAUUUUUAAGCUUAUAGUUAGUAGAAUAAGGCGAAGCAGUAUAUUCCCAUGUAUAUUACUGAAAAGAACUAACCAGUUGACACUAACUAAAGGAUAGAAACAAAUAAAUAAGAAAUUUCUGGUUUUUAAAUGAAAAUAACUAGUUGACAAAAAACAUAGGGGGACUAACCUACGAUUACUCUAGCUUCUUCUAUAUUUACAACAGAAGAUCUAUAACUGUAAUGUUUAUGCCAAAAAUAUACAGCAUAUUUGGUAGUACUGGUUGUUGUUGUGUUACCAAUUACCAUCUGAGUUUAAACUUGCAUAUCUCAUGUUCUUGACAAAACAAAAAUUAUUAAGUUUGAAACUUGGUCAAUUUUCAAUGUAUAUAUGAAAACUUGUAAUUAAAAAUAUAUGUUGACAUACUUAUAUAGUUUGGUCAAUCAUAUAAAAGAACCACACGCCUUUUAAGUUCAUAGUAUAAAAAUAAUAUAGUAGUAAGAAUAAAUAUGUCUGUUACUUUUGUUUUAUGAAUGUGAAAACUGUAUAAGAUUCUCUGAAGCUUUCAUCUUGUUACGGAUAUCAAUCAUCGCGAAGGGGAUCUUGUGUUUUUCCUAUAUUAUGGCUAUGUGUUUCUAAUAGUGAUUUGUUCUUUUUGGUUUCCCCUUUUCAUUGUCGACGUGAAUUGAGUGUUUGGAGUGUACCCCAAUUGAAAGGUUUGGACCAAAGCUAAAACCCAAAGCCUCCAUCGACAUCACAUUUUGGCCAAUCAUUCUCCGAAAAUCUCCAAACUCUUAAAAAAUAAUAAUAAUAACAGUGGACUUUUAUGAUGCUUUUGUGUUGGGAUACACAUCACAUUUUUCCUUCAUCCAAAUAUUCAUUUCUAUAUCCCACCAAAAAUGAAAAAAAAAAUCUCUUUGCAUAUGUUGUGUGGUCGAAACUUAUUGCCUCAUUGGAAGUUUAAUGGUAUAAGUGAUGGGAGUAUAUAUAGUGAGCAAAAGGGUAUAUAUAUAUAGUGAGCUAUUCUGAAAGAUAAAAAAAAAUAUAACUCUAUCAUCAAAUAUUUACAAAAGAUCUUGCCUAGAAAAUAAAAACUAAAGGUCUGAAAACGUCAAACUAAUAUUAUAUAUCGUAACAAAAAAGAAAAAAAAGAAAAACAUGACAAAUGGUUUGUCCGAAGCUCUCUCUAUUACAAAAGAUAUUUUAUCAUUAUUUAGGAAAAUACAUUGAGAUGAAACCACUGAUUCGUCCUUUGACGAAAGCGAUGAUUAGUUUUGUUUCUGUAAAUAAAAAGAUGGCGAUUGAAUUGUUUGCAUAAGCAUGGUUUUGUCGCAAACAUAGACAAUAACGAUUCCAAAAGCCCACGUGCCUUGGGACUCGUCUUUAUCCUACUGUACACUUCUAUCGGUCUCCUAUAAUUAAUCUCCCCAUUGAUUCGUGGUUCUCUUUUUUUAACUUCAAUUUCUGAAACUACUUCCUUCUUCUUUUAUUCUUCUCUUUACGCAUAUGUCUUUUUCAGAUAUGUACUAUAGUCUAGUCGACGGACAGUUGACAAAUUUCACUUGGCAGCAGCAAGUGUCGAAAUAUUUUGUAAGUAUGCUUCAGCUAAUGGAACCUAUCUUCUUAUAUAUUGGGUCAUUUUGUACAAUGGGUAUAUUUAUGGGCCAUCCUUGUUCAUUUAUAUAUCUGUAUAAUCAAUUCAACUGUUUACUUUUCUUAAUUUAGUUGGGUCGGUUGAGUUGGGCCUUUCUUUAUAGGCCCUCUCACAACAUUCAUUGAAGCUACCACAAGCACAAAGCCUUCGUUAUUCAUCCAUCUUGUAACUCUUAUCGGCCGAGUGAUGAGAGUGCCGCGUCCACACAGAUGUGUUACACCGGACGAAUGAAAUUAUGAACCAUUUUGUAAUCUCCCAACUUAAACAUUAUUUUUUCCUCUGUCAAGAUGAAGACGGUAAGAGCAAAAGCGUCAUUACUUCUAUCAUUAAGCUUAAUUUUCUCUUAAUUAUGUGAUUUCGUAAUCUAAAAAGAACACGUGGCAUUACAAUAAUGUUUGUAGAUGGAUAAUAUAAAGUCUCUUACUCGUGGAAUAUUCAGAAUCACAUCCACUUCUUCUUCCUCUCCUCUCGUUUAUUAUCCACAACCCAACCCCGAAAAAAAAAACAAACAACCUAUCACUUGUUAAUACAAACAACGACAUGUCAAGUAGAGAAAAAAAAAAAAUUUCAAAUAAGGAUUUAGUUUUUUUUUUCUUUUUUCUUUUACUUACUUCGGUCUGUCUCUUCCCCUGUAAUGGCGCUUCCACACAUAGUCUCUUCACCCUCUUCAACUUCACUAUCUCCAUCACCUUCCUUCAAAUCCAAGCCACCGUAUCACUCCUCUUCCUUCAACCCUAGAUUUAUAUCUCCGUUACGGCGUUGUAAGCUCAGUUCCUCCUUCAGAUGUUCAUCUUCUUCUUUCUCCGAGAAGCAUCACAACGCGAAAUCUCCGAAAUCCGAUGACAUCGUCGAGCUACCUCUCUUCCCACUCCCACUCGUUCUCUUCCCCGGAGCUAUCCUCCCUCUCCAGAUCUUCGAGUUCCGUUACCGUAUCCUGAUGCACACUCUCCUCCAAUCCGAUCUCAAGUUCGGCAUCGUUUACUCCGACUCCGUCUCCGGAUCCGCCGCUGAAGUAGGCUGUGUAGGCGAAGUCGUGAAACACGAGCGCUUAGUUGAUGAUCGGUUCUUUUUAAUCUGCAAAGGUCAAGAACGCUUCCGUGUCACUAAUGUCGUCCGUACGAAGCCUUACCUUGUCGGAGAAGUGACGUGGCUUGAAGAUCGUCCUUCAGGUGAAGAGAAUCUUGAUUCGUUAGCGAACGAGGUCGAAGUUUUGAUGAAAGAAGUGAUUCGGUUGUCGAAUAGAUUGAACGGGAAGGCUGAGAAGGAAGUGCAAGAUCUGAGGAGAAAUCAGUUUCCGACGCCGUUCUCGUUCUUUGUCGGAAGUACGUUUGAAGGAGCUCCUAGAGAGCAGCAAGCGUUGCUUGAGCUUGAAGAUACCGCAGCUAGGUUAAAGAGAGAAAGAGAGACGUUGAGGAAUACACUUAAUUACUUGACUGCAGCUUCUGCUGUUAAAGAUGUGUUUCCUUCGUCGUCUUAAUUAGUGUGUCUUCUUUUACCAACUCUGGUACAUAAAAAAAUAUCUGAAUCUCUCUCUUUCUCUCUGUUUCUGCGUUUGCUAUAUUGAGGUUUGCCAGUAAUUGGAUAUACGAAUUUUAUAAAAAAACUGCAAAGUUCGGAAAGUGUAAUAAUUAAUUUGUUGUAAAUUAUGGUGAUUUUGGUGGGUAUUAGAUGAUGUUUUGGGAGUUUGAUGAGCUUAUAGCUGAAUUGAGUACAAAAGUGUUGCGCUUCUCUUGAGUUGAAGCCUAGAUUAGUCUGAACAAACUGGCUAUAAGUAGAAAGAGAUGUUCUCAUGUUCACUGAAUCAGAGAAUGUUUACUCUGCUACAACUCAUGUAGAGAGACUAAUAAGUGUAGUGUUGGUUGUUCUGUAUAUACCAUCAUUUACAGUAUGUUUAUUAUAUUUUUGUGACAACCUAUCUAUGAUUCUAAGCUUAUCCGUUUAUUUGCAUAUUCCUAGCAAUGGUACUUUGGUGAGUAGCAUUGUAUAUUUUUAGUGUAGAAAUCAAGUGGAAACUUACCAAUGGGUUUGAAUAAACUGCUUAAGUUAUGGAUUCCUAAGUGUUCUUGUUUGCGUGAUUAGGCACUGGAGUGGAAUCAGUUUGAUCGUCUGGUUUUCUAAGAAUAUAAAUAACCUGAUUAAUGUGUAUCUAUGCCACAGAGUGUUGUCUGGUCAUGAGAAUAUGGAGCCUAGCCCUGUAGUCCAUGGUUCACAAAAGUAGGAAGUUGAAUAAGUCUAUCAAUUGUUGUCUUAACUGUUUUACCACAAAGAAAAGGACUAGCAAAACUAUAGUAUCAAACGUCUGUUUAUAUGAAAUAAAAUUAAAGGAAAAUAAUAUCAGAUCCUUAAAAUUUAAAUACUACUUAUCGAAGACAUUGACCCAGGAAUAACAAGGUUUUAACUCAUCAAAAUCAAGAGAUUAAGCUCAGUACUCAAAGUGAAGACAUUAAGGUCAAUCUUAAAACGAAAAAAAAAAAAAAAAAUACCUUGGAAGAAUUGAAAAACAAAGAUGAUUGCUUGCAAAGGUAGGUGUAAUUAAAACCAAGUCAAGAUUAAAGUCCACUUAAAAUUAAUCAUUUGGUAUAUACACGCAAACAUCAUCCAAAACACACAAAACUAAUUAAGUACAACACGGAUUAUCUUCACAAAGACAAAUAUACAAACGUCUGCCCUGUUCCGACAUCUUUAGAUAUCAGUAACUCACGAGACAGGCUGAGCCGAUGCAGAACAAGCCACAAGGUAGCUAAACAAAUUAUGUUUACCUUGUCCAUGUAAUUGUAUGUAUGUUUUGACUUUUUGGAGCAUAUAUGUUUUACCUUUUUAGUCAUGCAUUAAUACCAUCCACAAUAUUGUAAAGUCACGUUGUGGGUUCUUUACAAUAUUUUAUACUUCGGCUACUCAUAAACCGUCAUGUCAUCGACUCUUCACCCAUUAAAAGACUCUCUAUUGAGAGUCAAUACUCUCUAAUUAAAUUAUAAAUUGAUUUAAUUUUUAUGUCAACAACAUAGAGAACCCAUGUUUAAAUCCCUGUUGUGGUUGCUCUUAGACAUUACAUCUGUAUUUAGUCUCUAUUUUUCUCCUUGCUCCUCUCCCAUAUCUAUUUUUGCCAAAAAUAAAAGAUAGUAGUUAAUAGAUUUUUGUUUGAAAAUUAAAUUGAUUUAUUUUGUUAACAAAGCUUAUAGUUUGAUUUCACACUAAUCUAUCUGAGAAAAAAACUACUUGAAAUUGAAAACUAUAAUAUAUAAUUGAAAAAGAAAUUGUUGAGAUAAUUGAAACCAGGAGCUUUGUACUCAUCAGUUGUAAAACAUAUGAGAAGAGGCCGACUUUUCACGUGUGUCUCGACCACAAAUGUUUUGUAAAGAACGAGAAGUAAAAAUUCAACUUUGUGUCUUCUCUCGAGGAACCUUCGGGGCCGUACGUUUAGUUUCGUGGACAUAUAGCCGCCACAUGACUGACUCUUUACACUCAUACAUUACUUGUAAAUUUUUAUGUUUUUCCACGUGGCAGUUAAAGUAGCUAGAGAAUGGGAUAACAUCAAGCAAAAAAGUAUUGGUGCCUUAACGUACGGGGGAGUUUAGGAAAAGAAACCUACGUCUCUUUCUUAAUCUUCUUAUUAACUGUUACGACUUAGUUAGUUAAUAUGAUUUGUUUGCCAAAAAAUUGAUAUGAUAUAGCAAGAAAGAACUUGGUGGUUCUAUUGGUUCUUAUAGUUAGUUUUUUACAUUUUUUGAGUUAGCUAUUAAAUAAUGUAACUCCAUAUUUUCAUUUGUAGCUAAUUUUAAAUCUAAGCUAGGUUUGGUAUAUAAUAAAAUAAAAAGCUUGGUGUUCAAAGCGUUCACACGACGAACCCUUAAUAGUGAUAUAUUUUUGUAUAUUUCCCCAAUCGUGGAUGACCUUAUCCAUAUCUCUCUCUCUUUUCUUUUUCGAAAUUCUCAAAUAGUCUCUCUCUGCUGGUUUACGAUCACUGUUGCCAAAAAGAGAAGGGUCUCUCGAGACAAGUGUUAGGAUUACAAACACAACACCAGCUUCCUCCUCGCGACACGACCCUCCGUCAUGUCUGCGCCAGCUAUAUCUUCUCCACGCCACGUUUCAUCACUCUGUUCCACUAUAUAUACACACCUACCCAGUAACUCCUGUCUUUGCCUUAUCACUCACAAAAAAUCUUCACACAACAUCACUUUCGAGCUGUCAACAUACAUCCGUACAUGUCCUCCAUAGAGCCAAAGGUCAUGAUGGUUGGUGCUAACAAGAAACAGCGAACUGUCCAAGCUAGUUCGAGGAAAGGCUGCAUGAGAGGUAAAGGUGGACCUGACAACGCGUCUUGCACCUACAAAGGUGUUAGACAACGCACUUGGGGAAAAUGGGUCGCUGAGAUCCGUGAGCCUAACAGAGGAGCUCGUCUUUGGCUCGGUACCUUUGACACCUCCCGGGAAGCUGCGUUGGCUUAUGACUCCGCAGCUCGUAAGCUCUAUGGUCCUGAGGCUCACCUUAACCUCCCUGAGUCCUUAAGAAGUUACCCUGAAACGGCGUCGUCUCAAGCAUCCCAGACGGCACCAAGCAGCAACACCGGUGGAAAAAGCAGCGACUCCGAGUCGCCGUGUUCAUCCAACGAGAUGUCAUUAUGUGGAAGAGUGGCAGAGGAGAUAUCAUGGGAGCAUAUAAAUGUGGAUUUGCCGGUAAUGGAUGACUCUUCUAUAUGGGAAGAAGCUACAAUAUCGUUAGGGUUUCCAUGGGUUAAUGAAGGAGAUAAUGAUAUUUCUCGGUUUGAUACUUGUAUUUCCGGUGGCUAUUCUAAUUGGGAUUCCUUUCAUUCCCCACUUUGAGGUGUCACUGAACUCUAGUUAAUUAUCAUAUACAAACUACAUAUAUAUACAAAUAUAAUCACCGUGAUGAUCUAGGUUUAUAUAUAUACACCAGCUCCAUGUAAUUAUAUAUGUGCACAUAUAUAAAUGUCGUUUGUCUGUAGUGUAAAAGCAGAUACUUACUUCACCAAGAAACAUAGAAACAAAAACGACAGUUGUUUGUCUCAAAGCUAAAUAUGUGUCAUGGGGAAAACGUGAAGUGCAAUGUAUCUGUAUAAAGAAAACGGGAUGUUUACGUUGUGUGUAACGGUCAAUGUUAAGACCACAUAUGUCUCUGUUUUCGAUGGGCUUUCAGUUUUUGACUAUAUUGUCUCGUUUGUUGUGUGUUUGCUUCUUAUAUUUUCCUUUUUCUCUUUACACCUUUACCUUCGUCUUUGUGAGAUGUCAUAUAUGUAACCCUCUGAGAAUUGUGUACCUCAUGGGCAAUGUUUAUCACAUUAUAUAAACCUGGCCCGUUUAUGGUCGGUCCAAAAUCUAUAUAUUCAGCCCAUUAUAUAUGGUCUCUACCUAAUGCCUACUACAUAUGAUUUAAAACCCCUAAUGGUUGAGAGCGAAAACCAAAUCCUGAAUCCACAUGUCGACUAAAAUGUAAAUUCUGGUUUCAUAUCUCUCUGCCAGAUAUCAAAAGAAAUAAAAAGAAAAGAUAUAUGUGUCUUCGCUUAUGUAUAUGAAGAAAUUUUGUUAAUCAAAUUGUUUAUAUUAAGAGAAAAGUAUAUGAUAUUUUUUGAUAUACUAGUAUAUGAUAUUUGAUAAGUAAGAGGAACUAUUGUGGAAUUAUUAAUUCGUUCUCUUUGAUAUAAUGCUGUUUUACCAGUCUACGUCGAACGAAAUUGUACUAUGGGACCAAAUUAAAUAUUCACGUAGAAAAACAUAGUUAUCUCGAGUCUUUUGAAUUUUGAAGACCAUGCUAAAAAUUAUGGACCUUCAGGUUCAGCUCAAAAGUCAAAAGACAAUUGGUAUAUAUUUAUAAAUGGAUUGGUCCAAAUGUAUUAUAUAAUAGUAGGUUUGAUUUAAUUUUAGAUGUGAAGUUAUAAAAUUUUGGUAUUCAACAGUUAUAUUUUAAUGUUUAAAAUGUUAUUUCAUUGGCUCCAUUCCGCUAAGUUUGUAUGCAAAGCUUUUGUGGAUAUUUAACAAGUUUGUCUGUUUUAGAUUUCUUAAAAUAUAGAGCACUUUUUUACAAUUUUGAAAGAUGAUUUACUUCAAAUUAAGAACAAAUCGUUUGAUCUUAUAAUCCUCCGAACUGAAUAUCCCGACAGUGAUAAUUUAGUAAAAAAGAUCAUUAAUGCAAAUUAUAACAUUCUAUUGAUCAUGAUCGGAAAGUAAGGAAAAGGAAAUCAUAAGAAAAAUGGCACUAAUAUAUCAACCAGAUAUUAUAAAUAGAAAAGUCCCAAUCCAAAGCUCCCCACAUAGUCUGCUUCACCACCAUCAUCAUCAUCAUCUUCAUCCUCAUGAACAAUGAUGUCUCAUCCACCAUUUUUUUUCUUUUUUCUUCCUUUCUCAAAAACCUUUCUUAGGUAAUUAAUAAUUUAAAAAAGAAGAAGAGAAAACACUAAUAAUAAAAAAAAAAAAAAAAAAGCAGACACAGCAAAAGUCAUAAAACACAACAGCAACACCAUUGCUCCCUUUUUAAUUGGGUGAUGGCAUUUGUAAUUAUUAGCUGUCCAAUUUAGUCAAACGUUGUCCGUUGACUGAUGGAGUAGUGGAGUUGUGAUGGACGACUUGAUGGAGUUGCGAGAAACAGGUGCACGUUCGAUACCAUGCUCCGCGGGUGACUGGAUCGUCGCCUUCUCGAGCGCUGCAAAUUUCCUCUCUUCGCUCUUACCGUACAAUACGAAGUAAAGCCCCGCUAUGAUCAAGACCGCUCCUAUGAUCCUGCCAUUAGAAAAACCGCCACGUGGUAAAAACUAACGUUUAUUUCUCGUUUAGGUCCUUGGAGUAAAAUUAAAUUUGAAAAUAAAACCGCUUGAUUUUAUUAUAUUCGUUUGACAUACCCGCCCAAGUAAAACUCUUCGCCUAACGCAAGUGAAGCCAUGAUCGCAACGACAAGAGUCUGAACAGGUUGGUAAACAGCAACGAAGACUGGACCCCCUCUGUCAAUACACCAAAUCUGAACCGCAAAAGCGAUUCCAGACGCUACGAUUCCCUGAGAUCAACCAAAUUCGUAAGGACUAAAUAUGCCAGUUUGAAACUUCAGGGGUAAAAACAAAAUAUUUGUAAUUUAGAUAGAUUGAAGAAACGAACGGCAUAGAGGAUGGUGAAAAGCUCCCAACCGGAGUGGAAAACCCAAGCCUGUGAGUCUCUUUCCAUGAAAGCAGCAAUGAUCAAGAAUUGAAUGAUUCCGAAGAAACAUGUGUAAGACGUAACCGAGAGCCUCGCCGGGUAAGAUUUAAGAACCGGAGCUUGGAACACGAGCCAUCCGGACCACGAGAGACAGUGACCGAUUAGGUAGAGGCAGCCAAGUGUCCAGUUCUUGGGCGCGGCAUCUCCUAACGGCGCUAAUACGGCGGAGGCAGCGGAGUUUGUGGUGAGUAAGUGAGCGUGGAGGUGGCUGGUGGGAGUGUAGAUGGUUGGACCAUUGUAGAGAGUGAUGACGGAAGCUCCGGCGACGCAGAGAGCUGUUCCUAAGACUUUGGAGAUACCGUCUCUUCUGUUUAGUCGUACUUUCUCAAUCCUGUACACAUGAACAGUUUGUUACUACUAUGGUUAUCACUUAUCACUAUUUUGUUUGUAAUUAAAUUAAUAUGUCAUUUAAUGUUUGUCUACGUAUAAAUAUUAUCUACAUAUGGUAUGUUGACAAGUCAGAUGAACAUUAUUAAAGUGAGAUAUCCUAUCUGUAUCAUAAGAUUUAAAUAUUAUUAUUAUUAUUAUUUGGAUUCGAGUUAGUAUUUAAAAUAGAGUAAUAAAAAGAGAGAUCAUGGAGAUGGAAUUAAUCAAAAUUACCUGAGAAGAGCAGCCAUGAGAAAGGUAAUGGCGGGAACAGAGUUUUGCAUGGAAGACGCAAAUGUUGGUGAAGUGUUUUCGAGUCCCAACAAGUAAAACCCUUGGUUCGCUGUUAUUCUGUCGUGUAAUAGUUCAUUAUUAACAAAGUCUAUUAAUAACUAAUCCAGUUUUGUUAUUGAAAAGAAGAUCAGAGUGAAGGAUAUUAAUUUAUAUAUCUAUCUUUGUAUACCCGAUGAGUGCCAAAAAGAAGAACUGGAUGAGAAAGUUGAGAGUAAUCGCUGGUCUCUCCUUCCUAAAUAACACAAUUUAAGUAUGGUAAUUAAAUUACUAACAACUGAACUAAGAAAGAAAAAAAUAGGGUUUGUAAUAACUAAAGAAGAAGUGAAAAAAAUAUAUAAAAGGUUACUUUUCGAGGAAGUAAGCGAAGGGAAGGAGAAGAAGCAAGGCGAUGAUGUUACGAUAAACAGGGAAGACGAGUUUACUGAUGCCCAUGUUGAGAGCAGCUCGAGACACCACGUGGAACCCGGCGUAACCGAAUUGCAAAGUUAGCAUAGCUAUGUGAAGCUGAAGCUUCUCCGGGACUCCCCAUAUCGAUCUCCGGUUAUCGUUGUUAUCCGCCAUUGGAUACGAACUGAGACAACGGAGAAGGAGAGAAUGAUCACUGUGUUUUGAUAUCUGUGUGUGUGUUGAUUGAGGAAAAAGAGUGGAGAUGAGGAGAUAUAAAUAUAGGUAGAUAGCUAUCUCAUUCUCCCGUCUUUGCUUGUGGGGAACCACCAAGCUUGAGAUUUCUAAUAUGGUUGCUCUAUUAAACCUAAUUAUAACAAUGUGAAAAAGAAAUGUAUUGAAAAUAAUUGUAUGGAUUUAGGUACAUUUAUGUUUUUGUUGUUGUUUCCGAUCCUUUUUUAUGUACAUACAAAAUUUGUUAUUUUGGUAUAAUGGCAACAUCCCACUCCUUGAUUAUGAAUUAUGACAUGGAUUUGGGAAAAAUUAAAAUUUUGAUUUAUAUUAUUAUUUGCUAUUGGUUAUAUAUCGUUAAGUGUGAUAAAAUAGGUUAAUUUUCGUUAUUCUGUGUUUUACUAUAUAUUAUUGUAUCCAUUAUAAUUUGGCCGAAAAAACACAUUUCAGGAAAAUUCUUUAAAAAAGAAACAACUUUAAUAGUUUGACCUAAUUUAUGUAAGUAAAACUGUUGAGAUGUUAAAGUAAAACAAUCGUGUUUUUGGACAUCUAGAUUUAAGAAACCUCAAGAAUUGAAAAAUUAUCGUGCACUAUUUGGCAUAGCCUUCAAUUUUGGUUUUGGAAAUAUAUAUAGUCCGGUCAAACUUAUAAUGCCAACAUCAUCACAAAUUCACAGUUACCGUUUUCAGUUUGUCAAACCCUUUUUUUUGUAAAUAUAAUUUGAAGAAAAUUCGGCGGUUCCAAAUUCUAAACCGUUCAUAAAGUGGCAACGUCUCACUUUAUAAGUUACAUAUGCACUUUGUAAAGAAAAAUAUGGUCUGAAAUCACAAAUUUUGAAGACAUUUCAACAAAUAACAAACAUAUAUGCCAAAGUUUUAGAUGUUAUGUUUAACAUUUUUGUUUCGUAAAAUGCUGAAUUGGUAAGUUACUCAUAUGCGUCCUCAAAUGUCUAAAACAGCCAACCUUAAUUGUAAAACAAAUCUAAUCACCCACUAAAUGUUAGUAUAAAAAACAAACUAAAUUGAUUUUAAACUCGAGGAAAACGACCAUAUAUAAUGAAGCUGUUAAUUAAUGUAAAGUUGAUUAAAUUAAAACUAAAUCAAAGGCCCCGCAAUAAUAUAUAUUUAACAGUGUACGUACUAUUGUUUUACAUAGAAAAAUAAAAAGAAGAGAGCUUAAAAUUUGUGUAAAGGGCAAAGGCUGUCUCCCACAUUCUUUUUUCUUAUGCUGUUUUAGCUGACAUGACAACCCUCACGCCACUACUCAUUAACCCAACCAUCAUCAUUAUGGUUUCUUAAUUUUUUCUUCCAUUUAUCUAAAUAUCAUUUCAAUCUGAAGAAGAAUAAAAAAUGGCACUACUACCAUAAUAAGUUAGAUAGAAAUUAAAAAGCAUGCACAAAAUAUAUAUAUAUUUAUAUGAUCAUUAUUUACACUGUAUUUUACCUCAAUAUGAUGAACUCACUAUAUCUUUAGACAUUAUAAUGGUUUUAGUUUGUCCUUUCCUUUUGAUAUUUAUUUGGGAAGCAGCAUGGCAUUGCCACUAAUUAUUACUUGUACAGUAGUCUCCAGGAGAUUUAACAAUCUUAUAACAGUACUCCUAAAUUCCCUUUUAAUGUUUUUUUUUUUACUUUUCUUUUAUUGUAAAAUAUUUUUCUAAGAAAAUACUUAUAUAUAUAUAUUAUGAUAAAGAAUUAAUUUUUGUAGGGACGAUCCCCACGCGCACUAGCGAAUCGUGAGACCCACAGUACCUCUUAUUUCGCAGGCACACCCACACGAUCAAUAUUUAUGUACACGCUUACACACCAAUAUUAUUAUCUGUAUUUGUCCUCAAUUAUUUUUUUCUUUACUUCUAUUUCCCUUUGUGCUCUCGAUAUAUCUAGCCAUCUAGGUGUGUGUGUGUGUAUUACUUUACUAGUAUUAAUUUCUAAACUCCAAAUACAUUUUGUAUCCAUAUAGAAUAGAAUCAUCGAAAAUUCGGAUGGUUGCUUUGUAUGUUUUCAUUUUUCUCUUUCUUUUUUGUUUUGUUAUCUUUGGUUUGGAGAGAUCGACAAUGUAUACACGUACACAGAGACACUGUUUAGUAAAGUGUGUUCAGAAACAUGUGCACUUCCACGUGAAAUCUAACCUAAUAUGUAUUUUUUUUCCUUCCCCCUUCAACGUAUAUAUAAUUAUAUUAUGACUAAAAAAAUUGUUCGUGGAAUUUCAUUUCACAAAAACUGUUUUCGGAUGUACAAAUAUAUAACGUUCAUUUAUUUAUUAUAUUUUCCUUGUUGUAAUUGUUUAAGAACAAUAACAAAGGUAUUUACCUUAUAAUACGUAUAGUUAAAUAUAUAUAUAUAUAUAUAUAUAUAUAUAUAUAUAUACAUUAACGUUACGUUUGAUAUUAUAUACAUUAAUUGCACUAUUUUAUAAAGAUCUAUAGAAUUCUAACAUGAUCAUGAUGAACCUAAACUAAAGUUUUGUAUCCUUAUUUCUUGACAUAAAUUCCAUACAAAUCAUAAUUAAGUUGAAAAUUUCCUUGUAUACCACUAAAAGUUUUGUUCAUUUUUUUUUGUGAGCAUUUUUAGAAUUUUAGAAAUCGUCUGUACAAGAGUAAAAUUAUAAUAAAAAAAUAUUUGAUAAUAAGUAUUUGUAGUCGUAGGCUCGUAGCUUCAAACAGGUUCAAUAAAUGCAUAAAAUCAUAUCCCGUCUUUUUAAAAAAAAUUCCUAAAAAGGGGACUUGUUUUUGGGGUAGUCUAAAAAUAGCAUAUUUUCCGCUUAAUUAAUAGUAAUAUUACAACAUAUACCAAAUUUUAAACAACAACCUUUUUUAAAAAAAUUACAUACUUGUAGAAUAGAUUUUUACAAAAAAAAAAGUUGUUGAAAUCACUUUAUUUAGUUUUGAAGUAUUCUUAAGAGUUAAGAACACGUACAAAAACUGAAGAAAAUAGUAUAUAUGUGGUGAAACCCUUGGCCGUGCAAGUGGCACACGUAUUCUCAAGUCUCAACCGUAUCAAUAAUGCCAUUUGUCGGGAAGAGACCCUAUAGGCCAUCUUUAAUAUGGGGAUCUUUAAAAGAAUUCAGAUUAAAUUUUGAUUUAACUAAAUACAAAAUAAGGUUAAUUGAUAAGAUAUGUAUCUUAUAUAAAAUACAAAAUAUUGUGCUAAAAUACUUUUUUUAAUUAUAAUACUAAAUUAAUCAUAAGAUUUAUAUUUAAGAUACUUGCAAUAAUGAUGUUCUUUAGACCCUUACAUUAACUAUACGGCAAUUUUCAAAUCUAAAAUACAUAAGUUUCAAAUUUGCAAAGAGGUCUUAGCAUGAAUCUUUCUUUCAUUUAUGCAGAGUGAAGGUUUUGAUUUAGGAGAUGACAUGUAUAUAUAUGGUACCGAAUCAGAAGGCAUCAAUUAGUGAAGAAGAUCCCAACACAUUCUAUAUUUUCUAUCUUUUUUACCACAGUCAUUAAUAAAGCCGUCAUAAGAACAUUACUUUGGUAUAAGUUUAUAUAUGUCCAUCAUAAGAUCUAUAGCCUAGCUUCAUGAUUUAUAUAUACUAGUAUAAUUUUAGGUAGUUUUUAUAUCAUUCUCAAAUGAUGAUUCGUUGUUACCUAUGCGAAACAAUUAAGCUAGCAUUGAACUCAUAAAUAAGUGUCAAAUUUUGACUCAAAAUUGCAUAACACGAAACAUAAUAAUUUUUUUAAUAGAUGAUAGUAAGAUGAAAGUAUCUUUUGGUUUGUUUCUUAAUGAAGAAUACUAGUGUGAAAGAUCACUAAACAUCAUUUGCUAUAAAAGGACUCAUGGUAUAGACGGAAGGGUUUUCUAUUAAUUAGCAUAAUUUCCGGAACUAGUGCUUAAAAAAGUGUUAAUUAUAUACAAAUUGAUGGAAUUAAUUAGCAUUGUUCGUCUUUGUGACAGCCCGAAGAUAAACCCUUGUUUAGUUAAAAAAAAAAAGGAAGAAAACAAAUCCCUCUAUAGGUUGAAAAAGAAGAAAAUAGAAACACUUUUACUCUUUAGUAUAAAGUUUAAUGGAUCUUUAAGUCUCUCGGGUAAAGGAUGAAGAAACGGGUCGGGUAAAGGACCCAGCAAGACAGUAACGGAUCGGGUAAGGACUAAGGACCCAUCAAGCUAGACAGUAACCGGUAACGAGCAGACGAAGAAGAAGAGCGAGGGAGACCAAUCUUAGUUGGGAUAUUUAAUUGCCUUGUCUCCUUUUUUCCUCACUUUAUUUCAUUUCUUUAUCAUUUUUGCUCGCCCACGAGCGAAUCUUCUUGUCUCCGUCCUCUCUCUCUCCUCUUCUCACUCCUCUUUUGAAUUUUAGUUUUAGCAAACAAAGAUUUGUUAGCUUUUAACCUAGAUUUUUAAUUAUAAGAAUGAUAUUACUUUUAGAGAUUUUUGCGAAGAUCAAUGCAUACAUUUGGAGUCACUAUAUAUAUAUAUAUAUAGUAUGACCAAGUUAUAACUUCGAUUCUUAUUGUCUCGCUAAUUAUCUUGCAUUAGGCUGUGAUCAUCAGUCAUAAUCAACAAAAUAUAAAACGUUCCGACUGAUUGUCUGAAGAACGUAGACACGGUUCUGCAAGACUGGAACAUAUUUAAUGACUGUGUACACCGCCAUAACUGUAGUGGUUCAGUUCACAUGCAAUUCAAUGAAUUAAUGGUGUCAACUUUUAAGAUAGAUAGACUAUGCAUGUAAAGCAUUCAUCCGAUGCUUUGAUUGAUGUUUAAUACAAGAGUGUCCUUAGAUUCGUUUGUGGAUUGUGAUGAUAAGUGGAUGUCACUAAGGAGACACCUUGACGUACGACAACACUAUAAGGACGAGACAAGUAUGACCCUUCAACAUAUUAUUAUAAGACUAAUGCCACUUUACCCACUGACGUUAUUUCAAUACGUUUAUUAGUAGAAACAGCUCUCUCUCUCUCUCUCUUUUCUCUUGAUUUCGGUUCUAAGAACUAUGGGGUUUGGCGAUCUGAACGUUUCAAUCUUGGGGUAAAAAGCUAACACUACUAACUAGCGGGAAACUAUAUUAAGCAUUUUUUGUUGGAGUCUAAAGUCUAAACUGAUUUUUCAAUUUCGUUUGCAGAUGAAAAAAAUAAAGGAAAGUGACUUAAAAACAGAAAAAGGAGCCAAUUGGUUUUGUGUCAACUAAUGAGCAGAUAUAUUUGCAUCUGACGACCUAUUAUUACGUGUUGUAGCUAGACUCACAAUAAUAUACGAAAAUUAAGCAAAUUUACACGAUGAGGCCAUAAUAUUUCUACACUUUUUUUGUUUGUUACAAAUGAUUUCUCAAAAACUUAAUUUUAUUAGAAAAAUCACGAAAAACUUAUACUCAAUUAUCUUGGAAAAAAAUGUUAAUACUGUUUUGUUCAUAUUUUUUUUUUUUUUUAAAAAAUAUGUUAACGAAAAUAUUAUUUGGAAUUUUAUUUUUUAGGCAAUUAGGUGUUUCUGCAACUAUUUUGUGGGUUGGCUUUUUGCAUGCGAGGUCUUCUAUAUGUCCAAUUUGGACAGUCCAAACAUAUACUGACUUUUUAUAUUUUCUUUGUUUUUAUUCAUCUCGAUUGCUUUUGUUUGGCAUGCAUGCAUAACUUAAUUAUGAGAAAUUUCAACCCAUCCACUUAUAUAUUUUUGACAGGAAAUUUGGUGGGAUUUCUUAGUUAGAGAUAGUCCGACAUGAUUAAACUACUGAUAUAAUAUGUCAUAAUUUAAUUUCUUCUGUAUAACACCAUAUUUCCACCUUAAACAUGAUUGUUUUUGUCUCUUACUUUUCUCAAGUCACGCUUCUGUGAUCCAUAAGCUAUUUCAGUGAACACAAAACUCACCUUAAUUGAGUUCUCAUAACUUUUAAAAUCAUGAAUUUAUUUUCUAUUUCUCAACUUCUUUUUUAUGUGUUCAGGUGAACAUAUAUAGUUGUAAAAAACAUGUGCAGAACAUUUUUUUUUUUUAUAAAGAUUAACAGUUAUAGGCUUAUAGCAAACAAAGGUAAUGAAUGAACAAAACUACAAAAUACAUUUACAUGUCUUCAUUGCUAUCUUCCUCUGCUUUUAUUCUUCGUUCACUUCUGUGAUUUGGUCAAAAAAACAAAGAGAAAUUGUAAUCUUUUCAACAUUUGCAAUCACAGGCUCCAUCAAUAAAAGGAAAGAAAAAGAUUUUGCUAACAGUUAAAGUAAUAAUGAUGAUUCCUAAACUUUGCAUGCUUUUUUCACUGUUUUCGUCUCGUAAAAAAUAUAAGGGUUCCCUAUUAUAUAUGAUACGAUCUUAGCCUAUAAUUAAAAAGAUCCGAUCUAAUGAAACUUUGUUUAAAUGAUCAAAAAGGUAUAUUGUUUAUGUAAAAGUAGAUAGGGAUUCUGUAUCUUUUAAAACCAAAUUUUCUAAUCAAAUUAUAUUUCGACUUGCGCCUAAGAGACAAUGAGCAAAAACUGAAAACAAAUUUAGAAAGUGGGUGUGUUGAUCGAGUUUCAUAGUGUCUACAUACAUAUAUUAUCUCCCUCCUAUUAUAUGUAGAUUCGCUUGAGUAUCUAAAUUUAGCAUAUGCAUCUAUCUCCAUCUAAUUUCUAAAACAGUAACAACCUUGCCAUGCGCGAGUUCUAAUAUUAUGUUACAUAUAUUUGAUGAAUUUGUGUCCUAAUAUAAUAUCCAAAAAAUCCUAUAUUACAUAUGAAAGAAAAUGUGGUGUCAUUAUAUUCUUCUGAUACGUUCAACACUUACGUGAUCGAAACAUUUGAAAUGAGUAUAUACACAGUUAGAGGAGAAGUCAAAAUGCAAACAUGAUUAGUAUGUCUGCCACAAACCAAAGGUGGGAAGUACAUUACCAUUUAUAUUGUUGUCUUUUCCAUUAAUAUCCAUCAUCCCAAUCUACGACUCUAAUGUAAAACAACUUGGAAUCUUCAGAGAGGAUAUUUCGGACGCAGAUUAUAGGAGAAAAUGAGGUCGUUUACAAAUGCUCAAUCACCCUCAUGUUCAAGCAGUGGAAGACAUUGACGUCUCAGUCUCUUUGGACAAGACUUUUGUGUUCGUUAUAUGUUUACAUCCAACCAAACCGCCACAUGAUUUUGUAAUUUUGUUAUAUGUCAUUAACAAAACACUUACUUUUUAUAUUUGUCUCUUUGAAUUUAUAAUACAAAAACAAACGAUUGACAAAUUGAGAACCUUCUUUUUUCCUCUCUGCUAAAAUCUUUUUUACCUCCAUCAAUAUGACUCCGGGUUUAUAACAAUGUUACGACUAAGGCACAUAUAUAUAGGAUUGAUUUUACUGCCCCCCUGUGUCAUCUUCAGCACUUUUCUUGUACUCAGGUUUGAGCUCAUAUGUCCCUUGGUUCGAUCCUCUCUUAUUGUACACGCACAGCUCGUUCAAUAUUUCUUUCAGAAACUGCGCUGGUUGGUCCGUCUCUUGUACAAGCUGUUUCAGCGUCCAGUUAGGUUGGCCUUCAAAUAGCUUGAACAUUAUAGCUUCAAGCUCACCACGAUCUCUUCUCGUCCUCUUCACCUCGGUUUGCUUGACUGGGGCAGGUUUUUUCUUUUCCUGAUCAUUCAAACACAAACACAGACUUCUACACUGGUAAGGCUGAUAGGUGAAAGGAAAGAUGAAGACGGAAGAUUAAAGUUUUAAAUCAUUAGUUGAAGUAUCCAUCCUGAAUCGUAUUUACUUUGACGAAAGAAUGAGCAUUGAAGCUGAAUAGUUGCUUUACUACUAUUUACAAUCUUAAUGAUUACUUCAUAUUUGCAGAAUCACUGAGAAGAUAAUAGUGAGUAGCAUUUUACCUUUGAAUUGGAUGAAACUAAACCAAGCAUUCCAGGCAUGGGCCUCAUAUGUACUCCGCGGUCAUUAUCGAUAACCUAAGAGGAGUCCAUAUAUAAUUAGCUAAACAAAGAGCUAGGAGAAUUAAAGGAAAACAAAUCCCUGAAUGUGCAACUAGAUACCUGUAUCUGUCGAUUUUUAACCAUGGCUUUGCUCGUUCUCUCCCGACAAAGCCUUGCAUAUUCUUCAAUGUCUUCGCCAUAUGGCUUCAUAUCGAAUUUGUGAUCUACCAUUCCUUCAACAGCUGGAUAAACUAGAGAAGCAUGCCUAGUAUGAGAUGAAAAGCAAACGAAGAGACAAAUCUGAUGUUAUCAAUCAGACAGGUAAAACCAAAAUAGGGAAAUCACCUUGAUUGACAUCCGAAAAGGCAUUCAUGGGAACAAAGUCUUUGAACAUGUUCAAAGCGUAGCUCUUUGGCAUGUUCCCAAACUCAGCACCAUUCAUCUCCAUAGUGAACUGAUUGAAACCAGUACAAGGAAAUAAGUUGCAAGAAACAAAGAACAAAAUACAACACUAGAGAAGGAUCCUUCCCUAAGCUAGAUUUGAUAACCAAACCACAUGGGCAGUGAAAUUGGCAUGAAAAAUUAAAACUUUGAUGACACUAGAGACCACAGCCAUUGAAAUAAGUUGAAAGAGGAACAAAUAGCACUCAACAGAAGGGUCUUUCCCUAAGCUAGAUUCAAAAAUCAACCACAUGGGUAAUGAAAUUGGCAUGAAAAAAUCAAACUUUGUGACCACAACCAUCGAAAUAUGAAGGGACAACAUACAUGAACAUCCAGUUUCGUGAGAUGCCUACUCAAUCGCCUAACUAGGGUCUCACCUCAAAUACAAGAACUUGAGAAUCAAAAUGGAACAUGUAACCAAAAUAUACCUCAGGCGAAGAAGAAUUAUCUUCUAGAAGAUCAAUGCCAAGAACAACCUUCGCUAAGUCAUUAGAUUCUGGAGAAGCAGAAUAAACAGAAGAAGAAUAAGAAGAAGUCGAAGGAGCUAGCUUCCCCCACGCCUUGUUGACGACUACAGGGCACUUCAUCAACCAAAUCAGGCGAUCGGAUUUCUCCAAAUCGAGUUCAUGAGGGUUACUUCGGUCGUCUUCCAUAUCGUUACUCCAACUCUCUUCUCCAAUUCAAUCCUCUUCUCGCGGUUUCUUCUGAGCUCUGAUCUUAACUCUGUUUCGGAUUUGUGUUUAAUAUUGGUCGUUUUGACUUAACCCUAACUUAAGUCUUCUCUUACUUUGAAGCGGAGGUGAAAAACACACAGACACCCGACCCGUUUACUAAGUACCCGGACCGACUUUGGCGCUGAAAUAAUUGGGCCUUGGCCCAUAUAUUUUCGCAAAAGUCUGACCCCUAGUUUUUAAAUGGGUCUUUAGCAUAAUUUUCCGUAGAGCUAUGGUUUUCUUAGAUUCAUUUGUGAACCCUUGAAUUCAUCGUUUCUUCAAGAGGUAUACAAGAAUGGUGUUAUUUCUUGACCGAAACAAAAGAAAAAAAAAAGUAUUCGUAAACAUGACAUGAUUGAUAGGCGUAUAUGUAUGUACAUACUGCAUACAUAAAGCAUGCAUGGAUGGAUGUUGUAUGUCUUAUAUGAAUGGAUAGUGGGGAUAGUCAUACAGAUUUGUUUGGACCACAUAGUGCUGAUAAAAACACCAAGGUUGUUGACAAAAAAGGAAACAAAAUACCCAAGUUAGAAAUGGAUGACGACGAUGACAAAGAAGUAACUAUUCUCGGAAAGUUCUUAACUAAAUCUAUGAGAAACCCUAACCACUCAGUUACUACUUCAUGUACAUUGCACAAAAGGGGGACCAAUCCCUCAUCUUUAAGUAUGUAUGUAUAUAUCAUUUUGGUUUAUGGCCGCCGAAUUAGGAUUUUAUGUUUGUUUGAUAUAGUUUUAGAGUAUUAAAUAUUUACGUAUUGCCAAAAAAAAAGUUUCUAAUAACUUGGGGAAAAAACUAAAGUUGGUUGGUAAGAAAACUGUUCCUUAUCAAUUUGCGAAUUUUGUUCACAUGGUCACUAUUUUAACGACGCGUUUGAAGAUCUAUGUGGUUUUUGUAAAAGGGAGUUGAGGUAAAGAAAAGAAGAGAAACUGUCAUAUCAAUCAUAAUCGAGUUAGGUAAUAAGUAUGUAACAGAUGUUUAGUUUUCUCACUUUGACCACCGUAGACUACUCUUUACAGUUUUCACAAUGAUGUGUCGAGUCUUGGACUGUCUUCUUGAUGCUAAUUUCUUAACACAUUCAUUUCCCUUUUUUCCAACGUAAUUAAUAAACAAUUUACUCACUAAACUAUCCUUUCAAACUUUCAGGAAAGCUAUUAGUUAUUUCAAACUUAACCUACCGUAUUUUUAAUGGGCAGUUAAUGACAAUGCCAAACAUUUGACCUGUGAGGAUGACUAAGUACUUACUUACACAAUUGGAACCACAUGCACGUCAUCAGUACGUAAUAAUGCUACCAAAAAAAAAAAAAACUACGGUAUAAAAUAGUUAACAUUAGUUACAAUAAAUUGAUAACCAGAGGGCAGGUAUUUCCAAAGAAGAACCAUAUAUAGGCUAAUCCUAUGAGGCUGUACGUAGGGCUUUUGCGAAACAGAUUAAGUAAAAUAUCAGAGGAGAUGAUCAUGAUUUUUGGAUAUCAACUAUACAUUUAUUUUUUGAUCGACAGAGAAUGAAUCACAUGUCGUGAGUCAGACACUCUACAGUUUUUGAGAAACUUCCAUCUUUCUCCUCUGUCAUUUUUACUUGUCCUAAAUCAAGCAAUCUAUAACAGUACCAGCUAAUCAUUAUUAUUGUUAAUAGUACCAGUUCAUAUAUACAUAAAAACAAAUUAUUAAUUAUCAUUUCAUAAGAAUAAACAGAAAUCGUUUUCAGUUUAUUCAGAAUAUAAAGUCUCUAUCAGUCAUUUGUAAACAGACAGCAUCGACCAGUAUUUAUACUAAAAAUUAAAUCGUAGGAAAAAAUUAUUAAAUGGGGAUUAGCUACAGACGAAAUGAUAGUCACAUCCAUGCAAGUAAAAAUCAAUUAGUUAGCUAAAAAUUAUGAUAGUUCUGCAGGGAAGUAGUUUUGAUAUAAAUGCUCUAUAUUAUCAUCCGUUUACACAUUCACAUGAUACUCACAAUUUGACGUUCUCCAAAUAAUUAAACCUUAACGUCCUAAUAUGGAAUGGCACGAUAUAUAUUAUCUAAAGUAAAAACCAUACUACAGGGUCCUAUGUGAAAAUACCUACGCAAUUUUUUGGCUUCAAGCCUUCAACUAGGGAACUAUCUCAAACCAAACUAAAUUAAAAGUAAAUGCAUAAAUAUGAUUUAAUGCCGCCCAGGACCAUUAUUUUAACUAAACUUUUUCCAUAUUUUCAGAGAUGUUUUUGGUUAUAUAUUUCAAUUGAGACAGAUACACACACUUCUUCAUUUUUCUCGGUUCUCUCUCUAGGAUUCCUCCCCAGACCACCCUCUUUUGGGCUUAAGACCUUCUCUUGCAACUAGUGUGUUUCAUUAGGUUUGAAGAGAACAUAAGACCGGAAAAACUCUUUCCCCCUAGCCGAUUUACUCCUGUUUACUUGCUGUUUUAACCCUUUUAGCUUGAAUUUGAGAGGCUUCCUAGGGUUUCUGCUUAGUUCUUCUUCUGUUCUUGAGCCAAGUUUCCGUAUCUCAGAUCUGUUCGGUCCGGAGUUCUCGCUUUGUGUUCCUGUUGAGUUCUGUGGUUACUUUUUCGACUCGGUUGGUGCUAUUGGUGCCCUUUCUGGGUUUCGCAGUUCGUCAUCAUGUCUUCAGCCAUGGAUAAAGCUCUUAUGGCGAUGUCCCUACAAGAAGAAGAAGAGGUUCCCUUUGAGAUGCCAGAUCUGCCAGAGUUUAACUCCAUGGAGCGUAACUCUCUAAGCUUGAUUGGGCGUACUCUGAAUCCUCCGUGUCAGCCUAUGAAGAACCUUAUUCGUGACAUGCCUCGGAAAUGGCAGAAGCCGGGGAGGAUGAGGGGAGUAGCAUUAUCAAAUGAGAAGUUUCAAUUUAUUUUCAAUUCUGAACAUGACCUUUUGGAGGUUUUAGCAAAGGGUACUCACACCUAUAAUGAUUGGUCUCUGGCCGUUGAUCGUUGGUAUGAAGAUCCGCCGGUGAACUACUUACAGGUCAUUCCUAUCUGGGUCCAAAUUUGGAAUAUGCCUGUGAACUAUUAUACUGUGAGCGCCAUCACAGUACUGGGAGAGUUGAUUGGUGAAGUAAAGGAAGUAGCUUUUGACCCAGACAAACCGCAAGAGCAAGAGUUUGUCAGGGUUAAAGUUCUGUUUGAUGUUUCGCGUCCACUAAGAAGAUCUAAGGAAGUCAAGCUCCCUAAGGGUGGUUCCACUUGGAUCCGUUUUCAGUACGAGCGGGUUCAGAAGAGAUGUUACGAGUGCCAGAGGUUAACACAUGAGAAAGAUGUUUGUCCUAUUCUAGUGAAAAAGAGACAAGAUGAAGCUUCAGCUCGUCGUUCUGGCUCAAGUACCCCCAAGCAGCCGAAACCUGUUUUUCUUAAAGAGUCUGAUCCCUUGUUUGGUAUCCUGAAGGAAAAUCAAGUGGGGCUGGAUCCUCUAACAGGUAGACACAGGAUUGCUCCAGAGGUUUUAGAUGGAAUGAGACAAUACUUACUAGUAAACAAUAAUGAAGACUGGCAUGUCAAGGCUGAUCGAAUUCAGAAAUCAAUCAAGGAGGUAGAGAAAGAUCCCAUUGCUCAGAAAACUAUUCUGAGAAUGGAAGAGGCCCCAAUUGUCCACUUGGACAUUAAUACUGAGAAUGGUCUGGUUUUUGGAUUUGAAAAUUCUGGAGUCAAUGAUCUAAGAGAAAAACUUUCCGGGAAUGUGGUAUCUUCAUCCAAGAAUGAUGUGAGGUCAGAAACCAAUAGGAAUUGGUUAGUGGAAGAUGAGUCUCUGUAUGAGUCUGAUCCGGUGGGUUCUUUCUUAGCUUUAUCGCAGCCUUUUCAGGUUAGAGCUACGGAGUUUAGUUCUGGCUUCUAUGAAGCUGGUUCUUCCGGCUCUAAGCCUAAAAAAGCUAAGCAAAGAAAGAGGCCGCCUUCUCGGGUGAGAAAACCAAAGCCUAAAGGUGGGGCUACCCCUGUAGAGGAUAAGAUGCUGCAGUUGGAUUUGACACGAACCUUGAAGGAUAAACGAAAAGCAGAAGAUGGAGGACCAAGCACUGCAAAACUCUCAAAGCUUAACCCUCUUAAGGUGAUCCCACAUGAGGGAUCGCCCAAUGUUUAAAUGAGCAUCAUCAGUUGGAAUUGUCAAGGCUUGGGACGGUCUCAAGACUUGGUGAUUCCGUGUCUCAAGGAAUUGCGUAAAAAAACACUUCCCUGAGAUUCUGUUCUUGAUAGAGACGAUGCAGUGUAGAAAUAAUCUGUUUGAUAUUCAGUGUCUUUUGGGUUAUGACAGACUAUUCACAGUAGAUCCAGUUGGGAAAUGUGGUGGACUAGCUGUCUUUUGGAAGAGUAGUAUUCAGUUGGACAUUCUCUUUUAUGAUAAGAAUUUGAUUGAUGCUCAAGUACAGUUUGGGGCGUCCAACUUUUUCUUAUCCUUGGUUUAUGGUGAUCUGGACGGUAGUAAAAGAAAUGCGGUGUGGGAAAGACUCAGUAGAUGUGGGGCUGGAAGAAGAGACAGAUGGUGUAUGAUGGGCGAUUUUAAUGCCAUCAUACAUAAUGGUGAGAAGAUUGGAGGUCCCAGAAGAUGUGAGAACUUUUUCAAACCUUUCUCGGACAUGUUGGAUAGUUGUGGGAUGAUGGAGCUAUCUAGUAGCGGAAAUAUGUUCACAUGGGCUGGUAGAAGAGGAGAACAUUGGAUUCAAUGCAGACUUGAUAGAAGUUUUGGAAACAAGGACUGGUUUGAUUCCUUCCCGGCUUCAAAUCAAUCCUUCUUGGAUAUGCGAGGGUCGGAUCAUAGGCCAGUUUUGCUUAAACUUUUGACUUCCCAGGAUGCUUAUAGGGGUCAGUUUCGGUUUGAUAAAAGGUUUCUUCGAAAACCAGAUGUCAAGAUGGCUAUUCUAAGGGCUUGGAAACCAGGAAUCAUUGCUGGGGGGUUCAGGGUUUCUCAAAGACUUAGAGAUUGCAGGAAAGCCUUAAGUUCUUGGAAGAAAAAGAAUCAGAUGAACUCAAGAGAUAAAAUUAAACAAUUCGAAAUAGUCCUGGAGAGAAUUCAAUCUGAAAGAUGGCCUAACUUGCAACAGAUCCGAGUCCUAAAGAGAGAAUUGGCAAAGGCCUACAGAGAAGAAGAAGAGUAUUGGAGCCAGAGAAGCCGGAAAAAAUGGCUUAGAGUUGGAAACAGAAACUCGAAGUUCUUCCAUGGCUCUGUUAAAGGGAAUAGAAGUAGAAAAAGGAUUGAGCAUCUCCGUGGGACUGAUGGGAUGUUGAGAAAAUCCGAGGCAGCCAAGGGCCAGGUAGCAGUUGACUACUUUGAAAAGCUUUUUAAAUAUUCAAACCCUCAAAGUUUUCAACACUGGUUCUCUGAAUUUCCUGCUUUAAUAUCUGGGGAAAUGAACUCAAGACUUAUUGAGAGAGUCACAGCUGAGGAAGUUAAAGAUGCAGUGUUUGCUAUCCAGGGAUCUAGUGCUCCUGGACCUGAUGGAAUGACGGCUCUUUUCUUCCAAAACUACUGGAGUGUAGUAGGUCUUCAAGUAACUAAAGAGAUACAAGAUUUCUUUGAAGGAGGAAUUUUUCCAGCCGAGUGGAACUACACCCAUCUAUGCCUUUUGCCUAAAACUCAUCAUCCCAUGGAGAUGGGUGAUCUGCGGCCUAUAAGUCUUUGCUCAGUCCUUUACAAGGUCAUUUCAAAGAUCUUAGUGAACAUGCUUCAAGUGUUGCUUCCUCAGAUUGUUUCUAUUAAUCAGACAGCCUUUGUCUCUGAGAGGUUGAUCUCUGAUAAUAUUCUGGUGGCACAUGAGGCUGUUCACAAUUUGAAAUCCCAUCCGGAUAUCUCUGCUCAGUUUAUGGCGGUUAAGACUGACAUGUCCAAAGCUUACGAUAGAGUUGAAUGGUGUUAUCUCAGAGCCUUACUCAUUGCAAUGGGAUUUCAUUUAAGAUGGGUGGAGUGGAUUAUGGCUUGUAUUAGCACAGUUACCUUCUCGGUGUUAAUUAAUGAUCAGCCCUAUGGAAUGAUUACACCACAGAGAGGACUAAGACAAGGAGAUCCCUUAUCCCCUUUUCUCUUUGUCUUAUGCACUGAAGGUCUCACUCAUCUGCUGAACAAGGGACAGGCUGAAGGAAAGAUCAAUGGUAUCACUUUUUCUGAAAAUGGUCCUGAAGUACAUCAUCUUUUGUUUGCGGACGACAGUUUGUUUAUGUGCAAAGUGACUUUGGAUCAGUGUUGUUUCCUUCAAGAAACCUUGGUCAAAUAUGGGAAAGCUACUGGGCAAACGGUUAAUCUCAAUAAAUCUUCCAUCACUUUUGGGUCAAGGGUAACUAAUCUGAUAAAAACCGAGAUUCAGAAGAAGAUGGGGAUUACAAAAGAGGGUGGAGCUGGUACUUAUCUUGGUAUGCCAGAAUGCUUUUCUGGUUCUAAAGUGGAUCUUCUGAGCUAUAUCAAGGAUAGAGUGAAAGCUAAAACUUCUGGUUGGUUUAACAAAUUCCUUUCUCAGGGUGGGAAAGAGGUGCUCCUUAAAUCAGUGGCCUUGGCUAUGCCGGUUUUUGUCAUGUCUUGUUUCAAGAUGCCAAAAACUACUUGUGAUACUCUAGCUAGUGUGAUGGCUCAGUUCUGGUGGAACAAUGCUGAGCAUUCUAGAAAGAUUCAUUGGCAAAGUUGGGAAAAACUUUGUUUGCCGAAAGAUGAAGGAGGAAUGGGUUUUCGUGAUAUCCAAACCUUCAACCAGGCGUUGUUAGCUAAGCAAGCGUGGAGAAUUCUACAAUAUCCGGGAUGUCUAUUUGCUAAAGUCAUUAAAAGCAGAUACUUUCCUUUCUCUGAUUUCUUGAAUGCUACACUGGGAGUUAGACCAUCUUUUGGUUGGAGGAGUAUAUUGCAUGGAAGAGAUCUUUUGAUCCAAGGUCUAACAAAGAACAUAGGGAAUGGCAAAUCUUUCAAGGUCUGGAUUGAUCAUUGGGUGGAUGAGGGGAUGAGAGCUCCCUACAGGAGAAAUAAUUUUUUCAAUCCAGAUCUUAGGAUCUAUGAAUUGUUAGAUUCUGAGACAAGAGAUUGGAAUCAUGAAGCCCUGGAAUUCCAUUUCUUGCCUCAAGACAUCAUCAGAAUAAAAAAGCUAAGGCCGGUAAUUGAUCUUGAGGACUUUUACACUUGGAAAUUUGACAAGAGUGGGGAUUUUUCGGUUAAGUCUGCUUACUGGUUAGCCUCUCUCUCAGCAAACCAGCCAACCAGAAUUGAGGCGAAUAUUCAACCUUCCACUAAUAUCUUAAAGGCUCAGGUUUGAGACUUGCAAACUGACCCUAAGAUUAAAGUUUUUCUUUGGAAAGCUCUUAGUGGAGCUCUCCCGGUGGCUUUGGCGCUUAACAAGAGAGGAAUGAGUAUGGAUAUUACUUGUCAGAUCUGCGGUGUUGAGGAUGAAUCAGUAAACCAUGUCUUUUUUACGUGUUCUUUAGCAAGGCAAAUCUGGGCUCUCUCAGGGAUUCCCUCCCCAGAAGCAGGCUUUUAAAGUGGCUCAGUUUAUUCUAAUAUUCAUUAUCUUCUCUUGAAUAUCAAGAACAAACGGUGGCCUGAAGAGCUAAGGAAAUCUUUCCCCUGGAUUCUAUGGAGAGUUUGGAAGAAUAGAAAUCAAAUCUCCUUUGAAGCUAGGUGUUUUUCCCCCUUAGAGAUUGCCAAUAAAAGCAAUGAGGACUGGAAAGAAUGGUGUGAUGCACAGAAAAUGGAGGAGGAGGAUGAGCAGGAUGGGGGUAAUGUAGAGAUUGUCGCUGCUCAGUCCAGGGAAGUAAGAGGCGACCGGACUAGACGAGUUUGGAGCCCUCCACCUCUUGGCUGGGUAAAAUGCAACAUAGGAGUAUCUUGGUCCAGUAGGAAUGGCUUGGCCGGGGUAGCUUGGGUUCUAAGAGAUGCAAGUGGGGAGGUUUUGCUUCACAGUAGGAGAGCUCUGAAUAAUGUAUCAGACAGGUUUGAUGCUCACUUCAAAGGACUGUUGUGGGCCAUCGAUAGCAUGAAAAGUCACAGAGUCCAAAGGGUGAUCUUUGGGUUGCAAGAGGAGAGGUUAGUGAAGCUUGUCACUAGACCGGUGGAGUGGCCUUCGUUUCGAUAUCAAUCAAUGGAGGUUCUUCGUUUUAAAAGUUCUUUUAAUGGGUGGAAAUUCUUUUUGGAAAACUCUCUUUCAAACAGAGGUGCCUUUCUUGUUGCGCAAAGUGUCACUAGUGAUUGUCGUCUACAGUCUUAUGUGGCGUCGGGGCAUCCACGAUGGCUUGAUUCUCUCUUUGCUGAGGAAAGUGUUAAUGUCUCUGAUUGAAGGAGAGUUUUUGGGGUAAAGAUAGCUAGUCUUAGAGCUCUUUGCAUAUGCCAGUUCACGUUUGAAUUUAGGGCGUAAGUAGGGUAGGAGAUUUUUUGGAGUUAGUCAUAUAUAUGGCUUCUAACUACUGACUUUGUGUCAUGUAUGUGUUGUAUGGUACGUUUAUCUUCUCUUAUCAAUAUAAUACCAGUUGACAAAAAAAAAAAAAAAAAAAUUCAAUUGAGAAUUUCUUUUAAUUACAUCUUUUACUCUGGAGAAGUUUGCUUAAAAUAUGUUUAUUUUUCAAAUCUAUGAAGUAUGAUCGGUGGAACACGAAACCUAGUUAAGUCAUGUUUAGAUCCGGCAAGCAAACGGAUAAACGGGAAAAAAGCAGCUUGGAGCUCAACACCAACCAGAAAGCUAAUUCAGUAUCAAACCCAAAUAUAUGUUUAUUAAUUGUUUUUCUAAUAGAGAAAAUAAAGAUUUUUUUCAAUUGACCUUGAAAAGAUACUGUAUAUAUGACGUAGAUCAAUGAAAAGAGGGGUUAAUUAUUACUUAAUAUCAUAAUAGUCCAACGAAACCACAUUUUAAUUGCAACAAUCCUAUAUAAUAUUGAACAUUAAAAAAAAGUUUGUUGAAACUAUAGAUCGAAUAACCACAAGAGGAAACUGAGAAAGUGCAAUAAGUACCAAACAAUAAAGGAAAAAAGAUCAAACUUUGAAAUUAGAACAUUAAUUUAACCCCUCAUGGAUCGUUUUUUUCUUAAAACGUACGUACAAUGUGCAUGUUAAUCACCACCAAGUAACAACCUAGCUAAGGGUGUUUUAUCAAAUUGCACGAGAUUUCAAAAAGACAAAGACGAGUACAAAAGACAACAACAACAAAAAGAAAGUCUCUCAUUAUUAUAACGUUUAAGCUUAUAUAACAAUAAUCAAUACCUGAUCCGAAUCUCAAGACCUUGGAGGUGUGAAGAAUGACGUACCGGCGAUGAAGGAGUUGAGUUGAGCCGGGUAAAGCGAAGAAGGAUCAAGCAUUAAUCCGUUACUAUUGUUACCGGCCACCGUUUUCGUGGCGGUCUCCUCCACGUUGGUGGUGGUUGCAGUGGAAGCAAGGAGGUUAAGGUGAUGAUGAUGAUGAUCUUGAUCUGGUCCUUGGUCAUAGAGAAUGCCUUUGAAGACAUGUCCUCCAAUGUUUACAGCCGUCUGGUAAGCAUACUCUUGAUCAUCUUCAUCCUCUUCUAUUGAGCUCACUCGAACACACCGGAAAACUGCCGGUGAGUUAACCUCCGGUGGCAAGUGUUGGCUCACCUCCAACCCUAAAAUGAUCAUAUAUAAGAAUAACAAAAAAAAUAAACAUAAGAUUUGUUUUUAGUUUCUUUAAAUAACUUGUUCUUGAUUAUAAAGCGUAAUUCCCAUCACCUAUGUAAUAAAAAGAACGAAUCUUUAAGUAUUUAUUGCAUUGUGUUUACAUGAAAUCGAUCUUGAAUAAACCCUUUUAUGUCGUCAGGUUUACUAAGGAACAGUAACUUGUAUAAAUAAAGCAGCAAUAUCCGGCGGACAUCCUCAUUCACACGCAAAUGAUGUUGUACUUCUCCACAAACAUUCAUAAUUAAAACUUUGACACUUUUUCAUGAAAAUUCAAUCAAUCUUGAAAGCUAAUUCAAUUCUAAAAAAACACACACCAUGAUCGAAUUUUACCUGAAUUAGAAUUAGUAUUCACCACACGAGUAUUAGCAAGAGCCGAUCCACCACCACCACUAUGGUCCUUAUCAUCAUUAUUAUUAUUAUCACCACCACUAGCUUCUCGAAGGCGUUUAGUGUUUUGCGUUUCACGGCUGGAGGUAGAGUGGUGCUGCAACGAAGCGAGUUGGGCUAGACGCUCACGGCGUUUAGCAGCAGGAACCCAAGUGCUCUUAACGUGAGUUUGACAGUGAAAGCCUCGGCUUUUACAACAAGUUCUACAUCUCAUAUGAGGACAAUCUUUCUUAGCUUGAUUCCCACAAUCUUGACAAUUCAUACCUCCUUGUCUCGUCACCGUGAACCCUCCCGGCUCAUGAUCGGAGACUACGUUGAAGUAUAAACUCCGGCUGCGGCUAUUGUUGUUGUUGCUGCUGCUUCCGCUAGGAACCAUUCCAAAGGAGUAGAAGUUCGCAGGAGCUGAGGCAUGUUGUUGCUGUUGUGGUUGUUCUUGUUGUUGGAAGUAUUGCGGAGGCCAAAUCUCGAAACCCUUGUUGUUGUUAUAGAUCUCGUCUUUGUAAAGAUAAAGAUAGUUCUUGUCUUGAUGAUGAUCUUGCUUGCUGUUGUUGUCUCUCCCUCCUAGAUAAAAGAAUCCUGCCAUUUUUUUCCCUAGUGAUAAACCACAUCACACACACAACACACCACAAAGAGAGAAACAAAGAAAAGGGCAAAUCUUGAUUUGAUUUUCCUUUUCUUUGCUUUGAGAUAUAUUGAUGGUAUAAAAGAUGAGGAAAGAUUAGGAAACUGCAAACGCCGCCAUGGAAUUAGUCUCUCUUCAUCAUUUAAGACAAAACACAAUUUUGAUCUCUGAAAGUGGAAGUUUGCUGGAUUUACUCAGUGGUUCAAGAGAGAGAGAGAGAGAAAGAGAAAAGGUUUUUAAGACAUAGAGAGUCCCAUGAAGAUCUUUUGCUUUGGGCACUUCACUACAGUUAUCUUCCAGUUUGAACGAAUCCCCAUCACAUAAAUAUCACUCACAAUAUUGUUUAAAAGAAAGAGAGAAAAAAAAAAAGAAUAUGGAUAAAUAGAGAGAUAUAGGUGACAUUAUUUUAAGUAAUUUUUCUUAGAGUAAUCAUUCCAUUCCAUUCCAUUAAUACCGUAAUACGUAUACUUAUUCUCUACAUUUUAUUCAUCCGUAUAUAUAUUUAUUCAUAAUCCCUUAUUACACAAUCUAAAAUACAUGCAAGAUGCUGAUGAUGGAAACUAAAUGACGCUUUUUUUUCUUUACUAUAUAUAGAACUCUCGUAAUUAUGUAUAUACUCAAUAGUUUUACGAUUCAAGACAGUAUGAAUGAAAUUAUGGUCUUAUACUAAAACUAUUCGUAUCGGAAUUAAAAUUAAAAUAAUGAUUUAUAUUCAUUUGAACAAAAUAUUGUAGUUCUAUUCUGUUAAUCAAAGAAACAAACUUUGAUAAGUUAUAUAUUUAACUCAUAGUGUUAGUUUUUUUAAAUAUAUCAAUGGUAAUUACAGUGCCACGUGUUAGAACAGGGAGUUCUAACUCCACUCGCCCCUCCCCCGCGAAACCCUCCCCACCGUUUGUUUUAUCUUUUCUUUCUCAUUUCAAUUUGUUUUUCUUUGUGAUGCAUGAAACCAUACAUUAAAGGGAAGUCUGAGAAAACAAAAAAAGAAAAGAAAAAAAAAAGUUUGAGAAAAAGGAAAAGAUAAAUGAAGUCUGAGGAAAAAAAAGGAAAGACUAACGUCACAUUGCUUUGACAUUUUAUCGUCACGGACAGGUCUCAUCGUGAAGGCUUACCGCUUAAUCACGGCGAUUAGACCUUCAUUGACAUAACUUUUUCAACGACGCCUACGUGCGGUAAUUUCAUUUUUUUUUUGUUUUAUUCGUCUAAACAGUACUACUACGUGGCAUUAAUAUUGAAUUACUUCUUUUUUUUUUUUAAUUCAUCCAUAUUUUGUUUUCAGCUUAAAAUGGAAAUAAAAACUCAUAAAUGUGUUAACGAGAGGAAUCGUAAAACUAACACUUUUUUUGAAUAUGAACUAUAAAGAAAAAUACGUGCUAUAUAUGUUUAGGGAUUUGUUUUGGCUGGACAGCGAUCCCUAGUCUAGGUCUAGGUCACGAGUCAUUAUUAUUAGCCGAUGAAGGUAUGUGAUCUUCUUCCAUCUUUACCCAAACUAAUACCAUGAAUAUGAUGUAUUCUUUUCUGUAUUUAGAAAUCUUUAGUAGCUCAUUCAAUUACAAAGUUGAAAAACUUAGCUUUCACGUUAAUACUUCCAACAUUUUGGAAAAUGUAUAAGUACAAAGGAUAUGAGGGUUAUUUAGUUCUUCUCUACAAAUUAAAAUUUUGCCUAUGCAUAAUUCAUCAAUAUAUAAGAUGUGCACACACAUGAUGUAAACAAUAGACAUGACAAUGUUAAGAGUAAAACCGUUAGUGGUUUAUCUGAAAACAAGCUACCAUUAAAUACACCUCUUAAUUAAUUAAAGAUAUUAUACGAGUACGUAAUUGGUUAUAUAUACACAUUCUAUGAGUUUAAAAAAAUUUAAGAUUUACUUAUUCAGUCAUACCUUUGUACCAUCGUUAGAGCCGAAGCAAGCAGACCCACUCUAGUGUCUCUGGUCACGUGGAACCGCGUGAAUUAGCGGCGCAAUUUGCAUUUGAUAAUGAUAGUUUAGCGCAUUUGGUAUUACUAUAUUAAAUGCUUUAAAUUUUUUUUAUGUAUUUUUGAUGGUUGGCAUUUUAAAUUACAUAUCCUAUAUAGUAUUGUUCAUGUAUAAUCAAUAUACAGUAUAUGGUUUGUCCUUUUUCAACGUUUGUAAUCGACGACCAACCCACAUACUUAAAACUCUCCAUAGUACUCGCAUUAGUUCGGAUCACAUUGAUCCUUAUUGAUGUCAUCUCGUCAAAUCUUAUGACUAUAUUGUAAUUUGCUGAAAAAUCAAGAGUCUGGACCCAAUAGUCUAAAUUCUACAAAGUAGACCCACUCGGUGAUGGAUAAUUCAUGCCAGAAUUGAACAUUAUAGAUGAUGUAUUGUUAAAUCAUAAUAAUAGUCAUUUUAUUUGUUAAAUGUAGUUAUAAAUAUUUUAUAUAUUAAACCAGCUAUAUUUGAUCAAUAUUUGUUAAAAAUUAGUAUAAAUCUUUUUGAAUCUUUCUUCCACUUUGUCUUGCCAAUCGUUGACGAAUUCUCAUGCAUGUUCAUAAUAAGCAGGUCACGAGAUUGAGAUUUGACUUCUCAAUUCUCAUAGCUAGAUUUGAUCAAAUCUUCGGUAUCCACUGGCCAAUUAAUACACAACCAAUUUCACAAGAUAAAGAUAUUACCUAUAUACCUGCGUAGCGUAGUAAUCCUCGAACAUGAAGUAUGCAAGUUGUAAGGAUUUGCGUAUUUGCUUUUGUUUUAGUGAGAAAAUACGAGCAUGCUUUUUUUACGAACGGAGCAGUUACUUCGAAAUCUUGGUUGCAAAAUAAUUUUGUUCACUUUAGAAAAAAAAGAAAAAGAAGAAGCAUAUUUAUUGGAUUCGGAGAAACAAAAGUAGAAGGAGAAGACGAUGUGAGUUUUCUUGGAAGGUUGUUUAGAGCUUUUACCAAAAAUCACUAAGGGCAACAUUAUUGGUGGGAUCUUA
RNAcentral lists this long non-coding RNA (45807 nucleotides) under Capsella rubella. RNAcentral's name for it is "long non-coding RNA (CRUB_LNC004458)". The record is from RNAcentral. Lineage: Eukaryota; Viridiplantae; Streptophyta; Magnoliopsida; Brassicales; Brassicaceae.